Molecule: long non-coding RNA, 74195 nt
Organism: Gorilla gorilla gorilla (western lowland gorilla)
Lineage: Eukaryota; Metazoa; Chordata; Mammalia; Primates; Hominidae
Exons: 3
Source: RefSeq, a predicted model, not a curated record
UCCUCCUCCCGCCGCCGCCGCCGCCACUGCGUCCUGUCAGCGCCGGUUGCUAGGUGUGGUGCGUCGGGAGGGGGCCGGGGCCGGCGGCCGCGGGCGGGGGCCGGGGAGCUUGCCCUCUCCCUGGGAGGCGGCCGAGCGGCCCGGGCGGGGCCGGGGACGCGGGCCCGGGGGCUCUGGGUGCCCUCCCCUGCCCCGGCCUGGCGCGGACGCCCGGGCGCUGCGGGCUGAGGUCUUGGGUGCGCCCGCGGGCCGCGCCCAGCGCCCCGGGGUCGACGCGCCCUGGAGGCCCCUGCGGCGGCGUCCGCUGGAGAGACACCCCCAGGGCCCAUGGCCGGGCAUUUAACUGCACCCCGGCUCUUCGAUUUGCCUUUCUAAUGGUGCUAGGCCCGAGGUGCGCUGGCUGCGCCCUGGCAUCGGCGGCGGCCUGCGCAGCGCCCCGGGCCCGGGAGACGCCGGGGAGGGGGCGCCCCGCAGGGUGGCUGCUUUCCCUUCACGCCUGGACCCCUGGACCUUUCAACAAGUCCUCUGAUUUGCAGAAGUCAUUGCACACAUUUGCACACUUCUAUUCGGAACCCCUGCUAAGGGAGGUGGGCCGGGUGCAUCUGGCUUAGGCGGUCCAACCACCUGCGGAAGGUGUGACCGACGCCAGCGAGUUGUCCUGCGUGGGCUAGAAGGUGAAGGGUCCGAGCGAUGUCCCAAUGGGGCUGUCUAAUCCAGAGAACCUGUAAAUUGCCCCCAGGAAGUCCAAAUGAAUGCCAUGGAUUCAGCCAUGUGGAUGCAGCUCACGUUUCUACAAAGUUGAGAGAAUAAAUCACGACUGCUGUGUAUUUAUGCAGGAAUAAAAUGAGGCAGAACCCUAUGCUCCUUUGCUUAGUAUAGUGCUGUCUCUGCACACAGUGGCUGCUUAAUAAGUGUUGAAUGCCUGUUUAGAAUGUGAUUUGAUGGGCCAUCCGGAAUAGGAGAUAAUCAUGGGAAACGUCUACAAAAUGUCUUUCAGAGGAAAAUGCUGUUGAGUAAUUGUCCAGGUUUUGAAACUUUUCAAGUUUUCAGGCGUCCUUGUAAUAGCUUCUUCCAUUUCCUCUGCUAAAGGUAUGACAGAAGAGCUGGGCAAGUUUUGGUAGUCUUAAAAGCAGUUUAAUGGAGCAACAAAUGUGCUGAUUCAUAUCAUGAUUGAAUAGUCAUAACUGAAAGUGCUUGAAAGUAUUAAAUCAGAUUUUUCAUGAUGGCUAGUUUAAAAUAAAGCGAAAACACCGGUACUGUGAAGUUCUGGUAGAAAUGUUACUAGUUCAAGUUCUUCCCCUUACUCCCAAUAAUAAGUAAAAAAAAAUAUAAAUAAUGCUAUAAAUUAAUAUGUAUGAUAUAAGUAAUAUAAAUAAUUUCUCUUGACUUACAGAAGGCUGUCAUUGCAUAUCCCAUCCAUUCUCGCUAACAGUUAUUUCAGAAUAAACUAUAAUUUAUAUAAGCUGAGUAAUAAUUUUACCCCAUUGCCUACCUACUUAGACAAGCUGGUUAAAAGACAGUAUAAAUUAUAUUUAUAAAAAUGUGUUAAAGACAGUUAUCCUUCUUGAGGAUUUAGUUUGAGAUGGUUUAAAACUUGGUGAAUCAUGAGGUGUUUUUUUUUAAGUGUAGAAAUUGUCUUAAUAUUUUGCACACAUUUUUAAAGAAGGUUAAGAGUUUGAUACGUUUUCUAAAACUCAGCUUUGAAGUAACGCUACCUCAUUCCCAGAAGGCUAGUGUUGUCCUUUUAAUAGUGCAAAUGUGGAAAAAUUAAGUUUACAGCAAUAGCAGUGACCUAGGUGAACUGUGUCGCAGGGCUAACACAGUUGAAAACAGUUUGAACCAGCAAACUUUAUGAAAAGCAAAUGUUAAAAUGAACAAACACUUGCAAUUCCCAGGAUGAAGAGGCUCAAACUAUUAUACACCUCUGCUGGGGAGAGGCCCUUUACUAUCAAAGGCAGCCCUAUAUGCAGAAAGAAGUAAGAACUGAUCUUAAGAAGAAUAAAAACAUCCCAAUUAGUAGAUAGUGUCAUAUAAAUACACUUCUGAUGAAAAGACAUGGGUGAAAAUAUAAAGCAUUUAGUCAAAGUUCUAGACAGGUAUUGUUAUGUGGUAUUUAUCGUUUUUGAUUCAAUCUAUAAGUAUUUGGAGACCGUUAAUGAUUGACUUACUGAUUUCAUGUCUGUUGGUGAGUGGUUACAUUAAAAAGAUUAAUGAAAAGAAUAAGAGGUGUGUUAUUUUGCUUUUAAUUUGUUCAACAGUCUUGUUAUUUAGCAACCGUGAGUAUUAGAGAUAUGCUUAGGCGAGCAUUCCAUUUUGGGGGCCUAUCUGGGUUAUUACCUUUAGCCACUAGUAAAAACCCUUAAACAGCGAUAAAAUGAAUAUUUAUGGGAAUAUGGUGUGUUUCUUGCUUGGCAGAUUUUUCAAGGCCUGUGUUUUUCAUUAUAAAAGUAUUAUGUUUAGUUUGGAUUAAUUAAGUGCAUUAAGUUGAGAAUAACUCUCUGUUAUCUUAUAUGUGUAUGCUUAACUUUUGUUUUUAACUGUUUUCCUCUCCCCAUAAUGAACAAGGAUUUGGGGGCUUUGGAACCAAGGGAAGUGUGAUUUUCACCACCCACUGUUUUAGCUCUUUUCCCUCCUGGAAGAGUGCUGUACUGGUGUUCCUGUUUUCUUUCUUGCAUUUCACUGCUGGUUCAGUACUGGAGUACCUGUCUCAGUGUAUACACUGAAUAUCCUAGCUAAAACUCUCCCCCAUCCCCACUUAAAUUUAAAUUGCCGAGAAAUCCCAUAGCCCUGCAACUGUGAAGUGCUUCUCCAUCAAUUUUGUUAUCAAUUCAUUCAUAGGUCUGAGUCUGUUACAGUAUGGAGAUGGGAAAAGCAGGUCCAGGUUUGCUUGCUUCUUAUUUUGAGUAGAUAAUUGAGUUUGUAGAAACAUUCUUGGUAUGAACAUCCUAGAUAGAUGAAGUUAAACUGGUAACUGGGAAUCUUAGAAACACCAGGAGCACUAAAUUUAGCACUGAAGGUCAUGUCCCAGGCUCAUGAAAUGCCUGCUACAACCCUGCAUCCCAGUUCUAUGAAAUCGUAUGGCUUUUUGUCUCAGAAACACAACUGUUGAAUCAUUCUUAUUGGAUUAUUUGGUGCAUUUUUAAAAGUACCUCUGCAUUUUGAAUUUAUUUAUGUAAUAAUAUGUAUUGAGUCCCUAGUUUAUGCCAGGCAAAGUUAUGAGCACUUGAUAUUUUUUGGUUAACAAAAUGAAAAUAUCACUCUUUAGGAAGUUUAUAUUCUAGGAUAGGGGGCCAGACAAUAAACAAUUGAAGUAUGUGAUACACAGUAUGUUGGGAGGUGGUUAGUGAUACAGAAAAGAGAAAAACUAGAUCAGGGUCCGGAGGGUUGGGAGGAGAAAGUAUGAGAAUUUUAAAUAGAUUGGUCAGGGUGGGCCUUGCUGAGAGGCUGAUAUGGGAGACAAAACCUCGAAGGAGGUGUGAGAGUUAGUCAUGAGGACAUUCUGGGCGCAGGCAGUACACAGGCCCCAAGGCAGGCCUGCACCACUUGAAUAGAAACACAGGAAUCUGACCCAAUUCAGUUAUUCAUGUGAUCGUACCAGACUAGCAGGUCAUUUAGAACUUUCCUCAGAUGUUAGGAUCCUCAGCUUUGCUAUUGAAACAUUUCCCUGCAAGGGCCCAGUUAAGGGGCAGAGUCUCAUUGACCAAGAAUGGCUUGCAUUAGCUAUGACUUGGUUCUUGACCCCAAAUAUCAACAGGUUUCUUGUGAGUCUCUACUUGUUAGUUUCCUCAUCUCCAAAACCCAGGUAAUAAACCUAUAGUGCUUCAUUUCAUAGUAUAGAUUUAUAAACCAUCUAAUUAAUAAAGGUCAAAGUUUCUGGAAAAAAAAAUCAGGGCAUUUACUAUCAAAACUAUAGAAUUUAGCUCCUAAGAUGAUUUAGUAAAUAUUUGCAUUAUCUUCUCAAAGGAGCAUCACAGUGUACUAAAUAGAUAAGCUGUGCAAUAUGUCAUAGGCCCUUAUUACUCCCACUUUUAGGUGAGCAAACUAAGGUACAGUUUAUAAUUGCCUAAGCUUUCGUGGCUGAUGUGUAUGAUUUGAGAUUUGAAUUCCAGACAGGUAUGGAAAGCUAAGCCUAUGCCAGUUGCCAAUUAGGUGAAGAACAUGACUGUCCCCUCCUCACCUCCCCUCACACGAUUGACUGUGUUUCCUCCUUUAGAAAGUAACUGAACUCGAGAUGAAGGUCAUCUGAGCAGUGGCACAGCGAAUCCAGCCUGCUUGGAGUUGAACACACAUGUCUGCCACUUGUCAGCCUUAUGACCAGGGGCAAAUUAACCAUACUAUGCCUCCUCUGUAAAAUGAGGAUAGUAGCAGCAUCCAUCUCACAGAGUGGUUAGUGAGGAUUAAGCGAGAUAAUAUAUGUGAAGUGUUUAUCUGCAAUAAUAAGUUGUCUACAUCAUCUAGUUUCUUGCCAUUUGUGUAUCUGCUAAAUAAAUAUGUAAUCCUACUGUCAGAGUCUACCUUCGAGAUUAACAUGGGUUGUAUCCACCUAUUAGUGGUGCUGUUUUGGGCAUUUUAUAACUAUGACAUCAUCAGGCUCUUCCUGGGAAGGACUGAGAAUGGAAAAUAGGAGACUCCUCAACAGUCUAGUGCUGGUGUUGCAGCUUCUGGCCACGUUCUCUUUUGUGUGGCCAGAGGCACUUUACACCCUGGCAGAGGCAUUUGCCACAGUGGACUGGGAAAGUGGUGUCAAAGCCAGCGGCUUCCAACAUGGCCUUUCCUUGUGGCCUGAAUUUAUUUGAAAAAAUCCAGGACUAGAAAGAGGCACUGUGCCUUGGGCCUGUGGGUGCAUUCCAUUGAGGACACUUCCUGUGGGGAGAAGGAAUGACUGAAUGAAUAAAUGAAUGAAUGAAAGGCUUGUUGCUGCCUGCCCUGCUCUCUGCCUGUGCCCUGUGGCUUGGCGGCAAGAUCUCCCUGUUACUCCCAGGGUUCCCGAGAAGCCCCCAGGUGUAAUGCUAGGAGAAGUUUUAAAUACAUGUGCAUACACACACACACACACACCCCAUAGGCAGGAUCAGGGAACCCGAAAUCUGAAACUUUACGGCAGUCUCCAAAACUCUCUCUUCACUGGUUUUUCCAUUAGCCUCUUCUCACCUGUAAACAGUCAGAUCAUCCUUUAUAAAACAUCACUGUUGAACAUCCUGUCUCAUAAGUUUCACAAGCUUCUAAUUGUUUUCAUUUAGUAUACACAUUUUCUGACAUGUGACCGAAAUGUACAGACACCAAAACUCUGCCUGUAACUGACUGGGUUGACAAAAACCUACAUAUUCUUCAGAAAAUGGUUUCCUUUAGAGUUCAUAUAUUUCGGAGAUAUCUCCUACAUUGACAGUUCUAGAAAUACAAACUGACAGCUGUUUUGAGAAAACCCAAUUCUUCCCGUAGAUGACAGUGAGGAUACCUUAAGGCUGGCACAGGCUGGUGACACUUGAUGAGGGGCUUCCCUGGGACUGUUUGGAAGCCAGAGGCCUGGUGUUGUAGACUGAGUCUGAGAGACAGGAGGCAAUGUUUCUGAAUUCCUUAAAAAUCCUCCUUUUCUAGUUUUAGCUUGUAGGGCAACAAUCAUACAUACCCCACAUUCCCUUAUAUUUCUCUACCCCAUUCUUACACCCACCUUCAGAUCUUGACAGUACAGACGUGUCCUGUGUACAAAGAAAUACUUGCCGGAUUGUAGAUACUCAUUUUGUUUCAUGGUGAGGUAAUAGAUUUAUUCCAUGUUGACCUGGCUAACGUAUUAAGUUGAAAAAUGUUAUUUAUUUAGAAUCUGAAGAUAGGAAACCAUAGAUGUCAGAAAUUUAUUAUGUGUGUAUUUUUUAAAAGUGCCUUCCAUUUAAUAUAUUUAAUUGGUGUAAAGAAAAUUGUAUUUUCCCCUCGCUGUAAGCACUGGAAUGUUGCAGUAGUUUUCACCUACUUUUUUUUUUUUUUUUUUUUUUUUUUUAAAGCUAGCUGCAAGCAGGGACCAGAUUAAUGGAUAUCCUCUUUAAGGGAGAAGUCUUUCCAAUUGCUGUCAACUUUGGCAGGAGUCAGAGGGACUCUUCUUGGGUCACUAACAAUAGACUGUCUGCCCAGCACCAGAGAGCACUGAUAGUCCCCUGACGGCCAUUGUCCCUUGCCCAGCUCACCCACUGGCCUCCCAAGGAAGCACUGUUUAUUGUCUGCCAGACUACAAUGGUGACCUUCUCCUGAGAUAGACCUCCUUGAAGGGACAUGAUCUGGAUACCAGCCCCUGCCCACAGCUGCUGCACCAGUGGGGAUGUGCUCUGAACUGUGUGGUCACCUCCUGUGCACUGUUUCCUCCCCCAGAAACUCAGGGUCUUGUCAUCAUCCUAUCCUCCUCCCCAAGACGUGUUUUCAGAAAUGGAGGCUGGGGUGGAGGUUUUACUGUGAAGCGGUUACGCAUGCCACUGGAAUCCCACAGGCUACGUGACCUUGGCCAACUUAUUUAAUUCCUGUAGCCCUCAGCUUCUGUGCAAUGAGGAUGGGAAUAGUAUUUAUCUCCCAGUGUUGUUAUGAGGAUUAAGUAGAAACAUGACUACGAAGGGUCUGGAGAUCAGGAAGCCCCCACACAUGUUAUAACACUGAUAGGAUUUACCUUUUUUUUGCAUCCAUGGUGAUGCUCCCUAUGCCACAUACUCCUCAAAGUCUCCUGUCCUCUUCAUAUUUCCAUAAUAUGAUGGGAGAAAAACAAUCAAAAUAACCAUAUACAUUUCUGCUUUUUGUUAAAUAUUUUAACUUGGAGAUAUUAGGUGAAAUUUGAUUUCCCUGGUGGAGUUUUGGUUUGUGUUUGUAUAAGUCAUACUGAGUGGUCGUAGGAAUUCAUGAGCUGUUAAAACAUUCCACACACAAAUUCUUGCUGUUUGAAAAUAUAGCAGCCUUAAUUUAGUAUUGUUUAUCCAGAUUUAAGUUUUUGAGACAUUAGAUCAUGUGAUUAGAAAAAUACUUCCAUGUUUGAUAAAUAUAAUUUUCUAUUUCGGAAAGAAGGCAUUUCAAGAGUCUAGAGAGGUUUGUUAAUCUAUAUAAGCAGAAAACAUAAUUAUUACAUGUUGCAACAACCAAGCAAUGGAAAAAACAAAAGAUGAUUUUAUAUGUGUGGUUUGUAAAGGUUUGUGGUGAAUCAUUCGAAAGAUUUGUAGGGCUUUUAUGAAGAAAUCCAAGAACAUGACUAUAGGACUCACAAAAUGCCAUGCCUUCCUCUUUAAGGGGCUGUGCAUCUCUUUAAUAAUAGUCCUUGAAAUGUUACAGACUUAAACACUGGAAGCUUCUCAGGAAAACCCCAGACUGGGCCUUGUUUUAGAAGCUUGCAUAGCAAUAGUUGAGUUGUUUACUUAUUGCAGAGAAUAUUUAAAAUACUUUAUUCCUAAACAAUCUUUGUCAACAUCACUUGAAACCAUUUUUAGUCUUAUAGAAUAUAUUGCCCUGAUACAGUUAAGCAGCUGGUCCAGGCUUAUUUGACUUAGCAGUAGUUGAGUAAGAAAAUGGUUUCCAACUUUUUUUUAUAUAUAUAUGUAACCAAGGGCCUCUUUUGUUAAUUUUCCUUCUCCCUUCUCAUGGGCUCUAUUUCUUGAAAGAUUUUGUCUAACAAAACAGGCUGAUUUAAUAAGUAAUUAAAUGCUUUUUUUUUAUUUUUCAUGCAGCAACAUCUCAAACACCCAAUUUAUGUGUUUAGUAACUAUUUAUUGAGUGCCAACUAUGCAGGCACUGUCUAGGAGCUGGGGACAUAGUAGUGAACUACACAGUUAAAGCCUCAUGCUCAUGGAAGAAGCAGACAAAACACAAUACAUGAGCUAAUUUCAAACAGUCAUAACCUUGUGAAGAAAAAGACAGCGAGUCAGGAGAGAGAGGUUGAAAGGCCUGUUUGAGAUAAAGUGGUCUGGGACGGCCUCUUUGAGAGGGAAACAUUUCAGAAGGGGUCUGAAUGAAGUUCAGUGAAGCUCGAUGAAGGGGAGUGAAUGAGCCAUUGGGGCGUCUAGGGGAAGAAUGUUCCAGGCAGAGGCUGCAAGGGCCUGAGAUCGGAGUAUCUGGUGUGUUUGAGGAGGAGAGUGGUGGGGGUGGGAUAGGAGAGGGAGCUGGGACCUGCAUGUGUAGCCUUGUGUCAGCCAAUGUCACCACACAGAGGGAACCUAAUUCCAGCCCCAAAGGAUGAUGUGGAAUGUUGUGUGACUUCGUUAUGGUCAGUUUCCAUUCUGCUUUUUUAUAACAUUCAAAUAGCUCAAAACCCCAUUACCACCUUCAAAGCCCCCUAGGGACCUGAGAAGCCCUAACUGGCACUCUAGUUCUCUUUAAAUCUAGUUUGCUUGUUUUUUAAUUCUAAAAGCUCUAUUUAUUUUUUGUGUUCUGUAUUGAAAUAAAAAUUUUUGGCUAAUGUAACUCACUUGACUAAUGUAAUUUAUUUAGUGUUUGCUAUUUGGAAGUGGGAGUGAAAAAUAAGGUUGCUGUUUUUGUUUUGUUUUUGUUUUUUUCUUUUGAGACAGAGUGUCACUCUGUCACCCAGGCUGGAGUGCAGUGGCACCAUCUUGGCUCACUGCAGCCUCCGCCUCUCAGGCUCAAGCAAUCCUCCCUCCUCAGCCUCCUGAGUAUCUGGGACUACAGGUGCGCACCACCACACCUGACUGAUUUUUAUAUUUUUUGUAGAGAUGGGGUCUCCCUGUGUUGCCCAGGCUGGUCUCAAACUCCUGGGCUAAAGUGAUCCUUCCGCCUAGGCCUCCCAAAGUGCUGGGAUUACAGAUGUGAGCCACAUGCCGGGCCAAGUGUGUUGUAUUAAAAAUAAUGUUUGGUACAUUUUUCAAACUGAGAGCCUAUAGAUUUUUUUUUAAAAAUUUCUUCAGUAGCUUUGUGAAAUCUGCAUAGAUUUUAGUGGUUAUGAGACUGCCAGAAAUGGGGGCAGGGGAGGAGAAUGGUCUUGAAAGCAGUAACGUAACAUGUAUUUUAUUUGAGAAAAAGUACUGAGGGAGAUUGUAUAGAUUCCACCUCUGAAGAUACUAUUUCACCAUCACAGUGCCAUUUCUUUAAUUCUGAAAGGUAGUAUUUUAUGAAUUCCAUGAACAGUUUUUUUCUUUCACAUCUGCAUGUUAUGGAGAGAUGUUAGUGGAAACAUUUUACUGUCAGAAUAAGCCAUUUGUUUUACCGAGGACAUCUGGACCUGUUGUCUGUAUUUUAACCUGUCAGCAUCUUUGUUCAAGUAAUUAAAAGUAGUGUGCUUUGAGUGACAGGAUGCCCAUGCAGUCGAUGAAGUUCAAGAGAAAAAUCAGAGUGUGAGAUAUGCCAAGAUACGUAUAUUCGUACCUGUAAUUUAGCCUUUCCUAAAUUAAAAUGAUGAUCAGCUGCUGCUACAAUAAUGCAGCAUCACAAACUAUCCCAAAACUCAGUAGCUUUAGACAAUAAGCAUUAAUGCUAUCUGGUCUGCAGGGGGACUGUGGUUUGGCUGAUUGAGGCUGGGUUCAGCUGGGUGGCUCUGUGUUAGGCUGCUGGUCAGCUAAUCUGCUGUGGGUUGGGCUCACAUCUGGUCACAGAUGUUCCUUCUGGGAACCAGGCUGAAGGGGCAGUAGCUAGUAGGGACAUGGUUUUCUCAUGGUGGACUACUAGAGCUCAAGUGCCAAGCCAAACCACAGAAGCUUAUUUAAGGCCUCUAUUCACAUCAUGCACAUAACAUUCCUUUUGCCAAAUUAAGUCAUAUGGCCAAGGCCAGAAUUAUUAGGUCAAGGAAGUAUGUUUCUUUUGAGGAAGAGCUGUGAGUGAACAGUAAUCCAAUCUACUAUGGAUGCAUUUUAUCAGAAAUAGGAAGAGUCCAAAAGGAUUUUGAUGUUUAGUACAGAGAUAAAAAUUUUCUCCUAAAGUGACCACGGUACUCUUUAAACAGGAGGUUGCUGUCCCUACGACAUCCCAGAGGGCUUGGGACGCAUAUGUUGUAACUCCCCAUGGAGGAGUUAAUAAGCAUUUCAAGCAGGGAAAUUGGGACUUGAAGGGGAGAAAAGCAAUUAAAUGAUUUCUCCUUGGCCGCAAAGAAUAGGGGAACCUGCUUGUUUGGUUAGGGAUGACCCCUUUUCAUUACAAGGUUCCUUAAGAACCUAAAGCUUUAAUUUGGGUUGCCAAGUCUUCUGUACUUGUAUUCUCAAUUCCUGAGCUGCUUGGCAAGGCUGAGAAGGUUAAGGGGUGCUUCCUGUGAUGCCCUCCCCUAGCAUAGAGAGCUUUAAGAAUUUUGGGGUGCUUUGCCACUUGUUCCUGUGCCCUUCUCUUCCCCAGUUCCAAGUUGGUGUCACGGAGGAUGGAAAAGGACAGCCCAGCCAGUUGGGAACCUCUUUUUCCCUUUCUCCCACUGUAUGCCACACCUUCUUGUGGCUGAGAGAGCUGUCCCUGAUGUCAGUUGUCCCAGGUUCUGGUUGGACUGCUGUGUGACCUUGGGCAACUUACUAAGGUAUGAUUUUUCCAUGUGCAAACUGAGGAAUAGGAUACCUGCCAUAUAAGGCUGAUGUGUGAGGGGCACAUGUUAAACAUUUAAUGACUAUGAGCUGAUAAUGCUUUUGUUAUUAUCUGGUAUAACAGGCACAACAGGCAGCAUUCUAUUAUUGUUAUGCCAGUAUCUUCCUGUUUCUCCUCACUAAAUUGUGGGCCUCCAGAAGACAUGAUCCAUGGCUCUGCAUCUCAUCUGCAAUGGCACUAAGUUUAUGACGCAGGAACUUAAACUGAUAGCCACUGAAUCGUAUUCAGAUGUUUCCUCUACCAUGAAGUCUUAAGCUCCAAGGACCAGAUUAGAUUAUUCCUAAAAACAGAUUCAGUCCUCCUUUUUUCACUUACAUAUUUUGCCUGAAAUAAAGACUCUUGAAGCCAUAGGAAUGUAAAGGCUUUGAGUUAGUUUCAUGCUUUACCUUUCAUCAGACAUUUUAUACACCCAAGGAAGCCCCUGGUGUCUUUAUGUUAUAUCAGAAGAGUUGCAAAAAGCAUGGAGACUAAUUUUCAUGGUGUGUCUGCAAGACUUAAAGGGUAUUUAAAGAAUAUAUCCUUCUAAUAUUCUUCUAACACCUGUCCUUUUACUUGUCUGUCAGGUUGUGGCCAUGAUCUUACCAUUUAGCUUGUUGACAGGUAUUGUAAAUGUUUCAGCUUAAGUCACUGAUCCCGAGGAGCGGUCACUCUAGGACAAAAAGUUCAGCUGUUGUAACAAAUAGGCCCAACCUUACGUGAACUAAAGGCUCAAGAAGUUUGUCUCUCUUUCACAUAAGGUAGAAGCUGGAUUCUCUGGGGCCUGAGGAUGAAACUUUGUGUUCCUCUAGAGGGAAAGGGAAAGAGUAUGGAGGAGUACACAUACAAUGUGUAUGGCCUAGGCUAUUAGUGAUAACUUCUUAUUUCCACUUUCAUUGCAUUAGUGAGAACUUAAUUGCAUGGCUACAUGGAACUGCAAAGGCACUGGUGCAUGUAUCCUCAGCAUGGCCUAGCUAUAAUUCUAUUACUGUAGAGGAAAGGAAGGCCUGAUUUGGGUAGACAGUUAGCAAGUUCCUGCCUUGGACCAAAUAAGUGAGCCUGCUGUUGAGAACUUUGCCUUUCCUUUGAAUAGGUAACAUACAGCCUAAUGGUUUAAUGGAGAGAGUAGAUGGUUAUAAUGACAAUUAAUAGCAAUUACAAUUUAUUGUGCUGCAACUAAGUACUAGGGACUACAAAACACAAUUGAAUGUAUUUUCUCAUUUGACCCUCUCGGAAAGGCUGCAAAGGAGGUACUAUAUAUUAUUUGGAUUUUGUAGGCGAAGACACUGAGCCUUAAGGAGAGUAAGUAACCCCCUCAAGAUCACACAGUCAGGCCUGCUUGACUCCAAAGCCUUCACCAUACUGCCAUGCGAAUGGUGAGAUUCUUGGGGAAUAAAGGAUAAUCAUAUACUGCUUCUAAGUCUGGUUUUUAUAGCUAGUUAGCAGCAAAGGCUGCCAGGGAAAGCAGUGGGUUCAUUGGAAAUAUUCAAGCAGAGGCUGUAUAACCAUCUGCCAGGGAAGCCCCAGAGGGACUUACUGCUUUUCACUUUGCCAUGGGGACCUCCAUGAUUCUCUGUGAAGAUCACAUGCAGUUUCUGAAUGUCACUCCUGACACUCAUUCCUGUGACAGCAGCAAAGCCCCCAUUAGCACAUGUUCUGUACUUCCUUAAUAAUGAGGAGGCACCUGGUAACGUAGAGUGCAAGAGGGCCAGUAGUUGAAACUGGAGUUCUCUGUGACCUUGACUAGUCACUUCAACCUGUAGCCUCCAUUUCUUGGGGAAUAAAAUGUGUGCAUUGGGCUUAAUCACUGGUUUUCUAGGAGUGUUCUUGGGGCUCUAGGGUUUCUGUAGGACUUCCUAGUAGUUUUCAUCCUCUACCUACAGGGCUUUUGAGUAGACUUUUUUUUUUUUUUUUUUUAGAUUAAAGGAUUUUUCAAGUUAAAAAAAGUAAAAACCAAAAGGCUGGUUAUAAUGAUAAUGGCUAAUAUUUGUUGAAUGCCUGAAUUAUGCUACAUAUUAUUAUUGUUUCGACAGCCUUACAUGAAUUAAUUCAUCUAUGGGGUGCAUCUAUUAUUAUUCCCAAUUUACAAACGAGGAAGCUGAGCUACAGAGUGCUUAAAUAAUCUGUUCACUGUCACUUACUAGAACAUAACCAGAGUUCAGACUUAGACGUUGAGAUCCACAGCUACAUUCUAAUGCAGGAAUGGAUGAUUUCUGAGGUUUCUUUCAGAUCAAAAAAUGCUGUGGUUCUAUACCUGAUAGCUCAAGAACUUUUCUCUCCAACCAAACCAAAAACAAACUUCCAAAUGAUUUACUACCUCCUUCUUGACAAUUAGAAGCUGAAUGCAAACCAUAAAGGUCCAUAUCUUGCUGAUAAUUUUAGAAAGCCUGUAAUCUUUUCAUGAUCACCUGAUGCAGCAUGAGGUACUGUCAUGCUGAAGUUUCUGACUAUGGAGCUGUUUCGAUAAAUAUAUCGUGACCUUCCUAAAACACAGCUGGUGGAGAUCAUAAGUGGGGCCACCUUCUGAUGAGAUGGUUUUGGUAUGCAAGGAAUGGCCUCCUGGGAUGGAACUAAAGCGAUGUUUUGUGGCUGACAAUGCUGCGAGGGCAUCUGAGAAUCUUAGAGUUUUGCAGCAGAAGGAACCUUUGAGGACAUCUCACCCAACAGCCUCCCUUCACAAAACAAGCCUUGCCUACCGUGUGCCAGGCCCUUCUGUAAGUGCUGGAGGUGCAGCCACAAGCAAAGCCCUUGCCCUCAUGGAGCCUACAUUCUAGAUGGGGGACACAGAUAGACAACAAAGAAACAAAAGUAUGUCAUAUUAGGUAGUGGUAAGGGCUGGAAAGAAAGGUAGAACAGGGUGAGGGGAGAGAGUGACAGCGGAGUUCUGCCUGGGUUAUGCUAUAUUUGGGGUGUUUAUGCAAAUUCACAUUUCUCAACUCUUUUUUCACUAUGUACCCCCAUAUCCUGGAGCCUUUUUUGACAUUUUUUUCCUAUUCCCAUCCCUCCUCAUGAGAUUUUAAUACCACAGAUAAACUGUGCAUCUGUUGAUGUCCUAUAUGUAACCUGUGCUUUACACUUAGAGUGAGAUUGCGUACCCCACCCAGAACCGAUUUUCACCACCUGGAGGGCAGUAUCACCCCAUCAUUCUGUUAAGUUCUGCUUUUUUGCUAUUAUAAGCAAAACCAAACUCAUGAAGUAGCCAUUUUUAAACUAUCACAAUCUAACCUAAAACAACUUUUUAAUUCAAAGCACUUUAUUUUGUAAUUAUGGUUUUGUUUAUAAGGGGUAUCAGGGCUUGGGUGAAUAUUUUAAAAAAUUAUUCAGGCACUAGGAGUGAAGUAUGAGAAUCUAGACUCCCCAUUUUUAUGCAGUCUACAGUAUAAUAGGCUAUGUGUAUACCAGGAAGAAUGAACUUUACUAGGUAAAACUGAUUCUUCCUGCAGUUGGUAAGGAGGCUGAAGACUGCGACUGAAGCCCCAUCUCCCAGUGCUGCAGCCUCCUCCUGGGCCUCCCUGCCUCUACUUCCUCCACCACCCUAGAGCUUGUCCUCCACAGCAGCAAGAGUGAUCCUUCAAAAUGUCAAUCAUGUCAAGCCACUGUGCUGACAAGGCUCUCCAUUCCAACAAAAGAAAACCCAGACACCUUCCCAAGGCUUAUGGUCUCAACACCUCCUGCCCACGCCCCCUCGAAGGUCCCACCUCCCGCCUUCCUCUCUGCUCCUGUGCUGCACCCACUCACGGUCCUCCUCUCCUGAGUUGGCCAGUGUUGUUCAUGUCUCAAGAUCUUUGCUCUUGUUUCUUCUGCUUGUGUUUCUCUUUAGAUUUUAAAAAAUUUGUUAUAUUAAAAAUGAAUUUAAUUUUUAGAAUAAUUUUAGACUUACUGAAAAGUUGCAAAAGUAGUACAGGGAGUUCCCAUCAACCCCACUUCCAGUUAUUUCCCUGGGUUUUCCUAUGAAUAUCCCCUCAGCAUCUAAGUCUCAUCUGUUCGGAGGCUUUCUCUCUCCAUGUCAGCUGAGUUAGGAGCCCACCUUCCUGCUUAUUUUGCUAUUGCAUUACCCCGUUAUGUCUUUUCAUAAAACUUUCCUCUAUCGAAAUUGUCUUUAUGUAUUUGUUUGUUCAGCGUCUCUCUCCCCUCAUCAGCUUGUGAGCUCCUUAAGGGCAGGGACUCAAAGCCAAGUGCACUGCAGUUCCCAGGGCCCAGGACAGUGGCUGGCACAUAGGAUGUUCUGACCUACUGACUGGCUUUCAGUCAGGGAAGUCUGGUCCAAGGCCUAAAGCCAUGAGUGGAGAGCCAAAAUGAGCAGCUCAUUUUCUUGACAUUCAUUCAAAUGCUCGACAUCAUUAAGCCCAGUCUAUGUCCAUAUCAGAUUGAAUUCUCAAUGGCAAUCAAAGAUAGGACUGCUUCUACAGAGGACCAGUCAGAAGUUAUUUGGGUAAACUGAUGGUGAGAGGACUUAGGCAAAAAAACUGGCUUUCCCAGAGUCACCCUAUGAGACCCGCAUCUUAGCCCCAUGUAUUGUUGCUCCUUUAUAUCUGAGAAUUCUCUCCAUCUCAGAGCUGUGCAUUGCGUUGAUGUGGGUGCUACCUUUAUUCGGUUGUGGAAAUAGGAUCUAAUUUGGGGCUUAUGUGAAUUGGAAUUGCAUUGGCUACUAGUAACAGACACCUGACACAGCAGCUUAAGUCAAGAAUUCUGGAAUUCACCUGUUGCUGUCUUCAGUGGUCCAGGAUGUUUGUGCCAGCUGGAGUCUCUGCCGUUCUCUUCCCCUUUUGUUAGCACUCCUGAUUUCUAGGCUUCCAGAAGGAAGGGCAGGAAGGCCAAAAGGGCUUACUGGAAAGCCCCACCAAUAACUACUGCCUCCAUUACGUUGGCUACCCCUCCUUGCCUUUUUAUCUCCUGUCAGUCCCCUAUGGACCAUGGGUUUUGGGUGAGGCCCAGGCAGCAUUAGGAAGUAUCUCUCUCUCUCUAUCUCUCGGGGUGUGUGUGUGUGUGUGUGUGUGUGUGUGUGUGUGUGUGUGUGUGUGUGUGUGUGUGUGCGCGCGCGCGCACAUUUUCAAUGUGGUCUCCUUUCUCCCUAGGCCCAGAGUGCCUGCUCUCAACCAAGUUUUGAGAGGUCGAGAAGUAUAAUUCCCCCUGCAGGGCACCUUGUCCAGGGUUCUGUUAUGCAGAGAUAAAGAGAGAAUAGACAUUGGGCAAUCCCUGCUGCAGGAACCAACAUGAGUGUUUAUUCCUGUCAGUUCUGCUACCUGAGAAAGUUAGGAGGAGACCAUGGGGAAUUUAAGCUUACAUCGGGGAUUAAAAAAAAAUAAAGGGGACUCUUCCAUUCCUUAUUUUUUUGUUCAUUUUGAACAGUACUAAACUCAAACUGUGCCACACCAAAAUGUGAUUUUGUGUAUGCAGGUGCAUGAGUUAGCAUUACAUGCUAAGCUUCAUUAACAGGGACCCUGAAAUCAAUUGUUUAAAAGAAGAUAAAAGCUGUCUCUGUCACUAAUGGAAGUAGACUGUGGUUCAGGGUGGGUAGUAUGUCUCCUCCACGAAACUGUCUAAGGAUGGGUUCCUUCUGUCUUGUAUCAUCUUCCCAUCGGGCAGGGGUUGGCAAAUUGCUGCCCUUGGGACAGAUUUGGCAUGUCUCCUGUUUUUGUACAGCCCGCAUACUAAGAAUAGCUUUUACAUUUUUAAAUGGUUGGAAAAAAUGUGAAAAUUAUUUGCAACUCAGAUUUCAUGUCCAUAAAUAAAGUUUUAUUGGAACACAGUCAUACUCCUUAUUUUCAUACCGUCUGUGACUGCUUUUGUGCUGCAAUGGCAGAGUUGAAUAAUUGUGAUAGAGCUGAUAGGGCCCACAAAGCCAAAAAUAUUCACUGUCUGGCUCUUUACAAAAGAACUUUGCCACCUUCUACUCUAGGCUGUGGUCCUGACUCAGUGCUUGAGGCCAGCCUCCUCUCACUUUGUCUGCUUAUCAGCCUGUGGGAAGAGGGACUUAGUGGGCACACCUAGCUGUGGGGGUGCUGAGGAGAUCAGUCUGCAGCUGGACAGCCAUUUGCCCAGCAGACACUCUGGAGGUUCUGCUAUUAAAAGGAAGGAGAGAGUGGAGAUUGAGUUACAUUGAGCAGACCACCACAGGGGAGGUGUGCAUGCACAUGUAUGUAUGCUUUCAGAAUCCACUGUGGUUGGUUGAAGGAUAUCGAAGGUCAUCUUAAUGGAUAUUGAAGACUGUCUUUAUUUAUACGUAGUAUGAAGUCAGGUAUAAACAAAUAUGGGAAAUGUAGCAUAUGAUGGAAGAGAAGGUAUUUAUCCGCCCUUUGAUUCAUGCAUUCAUUCAAUGACUGUCUCAUAAGAAUGAUUUCCCCCCUUGCUUGGUAGUGUUCUAGUUCUAGGAUCUGAAUUUAAAUUUCUAAGUUAGUGACGUACUCUUGCUUAUAGAGCAGUGGUCUCCAAGAGUGGUCUCUGGACAAGCAGCAGCAGUAUUUUCUGGAUUAUUGUAUUAGAUGUGCAGAUUCUCAACACUGUGUCCUCUUGCCCCACACCUACGAAAUCAGAAACUAUGGGGCUGAGACCCAGCAAUUUGUGUUUCAACAAAUUCCCAGGCAAUUUCAAUACACUCUUGGGAACCUCUGCUGUAGAAGAUGUAGCGUUAAUUCAUAACUAUAAUGAGCGAAUGGUCUUCUCUCUUCACUGAAUGAACAUUUUGUGCUUUCUGGGGAAUCAACAAACAUUUUCUCCACUUACCUAAACUUCUUAUCAAUAGUCUCUUGUACUCAGAAAAUGUACACAAGUCAAAAUAGACAAAUCAUAUUUUGGCUCCACAUUUAUUCUAGCAGACAGUGGCAGACUCUGCCAAAGCCACGAAGUGACUCCCCAUGCAAUUGGCCAGGUGACCACCACCACCACACAGAGCAAUCUCAGUCCUUGACUGAUUCCUCUGUGUGAAAAGGGGCCUCUACAGCCUUGACCCAGUGACUUUCAGAUUCUGAGGAAAACAGGCGCUUGAUGCCUGUCCAAAGUAAACAGAGCCAAGAGAACCUUUCACAAGCCUGGUUAAGGAUCGAUGGUUCCACCCAAAUGAUUUAGAUGAUUUGGUGUUUAAGUAUGUUGUUGCAUAACUCUUGGCAGCCAGAGAUACCAGUGUGCUGGAGUGAGUGGCAAUUUGGAUUGAAUGAAUACGGUAUCUAUCAAGGGUGUAUGUAUAUGUACAUACCAGCUACUGUGAUUUGGACAUUACCUACAUUAGCUCAUGUAACCUCAUAGACACCUUAUCAGGUAGGUACCCUUAUACCCUUAAGAUCAUUUUCCAGAUCAAAAAGCAGAGGCAUUGUGAGGUUAAUUUGCACAAGAUCAUCUUCCCAGGAAGAAGCAGGGUUAGAAUUUGGACCCAGGUAUUUGGUUCCUAUACUUCCCAUGUGCGUGUGCACACACACACACACACAUACAUUCUGUGCUGUCACAGCCUAGGUGUGGUUGUUUCUCUUGGUCUCUUCUGCAUGGGUCAUUUCUUGUAUGAUAAUUCUGAAUUUAGAUGGAGGUUGUAGUUGCUGAAUGGGCAUGGGUGGCCAGGCCCUCCAUACUGUGUUCAGUACCUUUGAUGAUUAACUCUGAAAGGGAAGAAAGGAUUACUUAGUGCAGGCCAGAGAGCUGUAAAAGGUUCCUAAAUUACUCAUUUCCCCUCUGAAUUUCUCCUCUUGCCUCGAAAACUAAAACACACUUUAUAGGGGAAGAAAGAAGACCGUAUAACUCUGUGGCAGCACAGUUUGGUAAUUAAUGGACUUGUGCCUGUAUCAGAAGAGUGAUGUAUUAUUCCAGAGCCCUGCAGAAUGAGUUAAACUGAGAGUGAAUUAUUUGGUUUGACUGAUGUGUACAGUAACUGAAGAUAGUUUAUUAGUGGGCCAGGUUUUAAUCUUCUCUCAAAAUGAGUUCUCCUCAUAUUCUGCACAACUGCCCAGUCUCUUUCAUGCCCUGAAAUUGAGUAAAAGGAGAAGGUGCUAAAAUGGUUGAAACAAGAAGUGAAACCUUCUGUUUCAUCAUAUGUUCCAGAAAAUAUACAGUGUAUUUUUACUGCAGCCUCCUUUCCAUCCCCCCUCCCAAUCAUUUUCAUUAGUGAUUGAUGUGAUUGCAGAGUGGUUUGGUGGGGAAAAGUACUUGCAACCAAAUUUAGUAAACCGCAAGCCAAUUUUAUUUUUAGUUGUAGUGAGCAAGGGCAGAUAGCAAUUGCAAAUAUCUUACUGUAUCUACUUCUAAGCUUUUACUUUUCUUUUUUUUUAAUGUUUUGCCUUUUUCUCUCCCUAGUAUGUUUUGUCUAUUUUGAAUAUAAUUGUUUUUAGGAGAAAAGGCCAUUUUUUCCUUCUAUCAUUGAGAGCCCCCCUUUUUUUUUCAAUAUUGUAGGCAUCAUCUUAGUAGGAAAUAGAAUGUAUUUAUAAUCAUUGAUGUUACAGAAAUUUUGAAACUGAGAAAUUAAGUACCAUAAUUAAUAAAAGGUAGGAAUAGGGAAUCAUAAAUAAUUAUUUAGUAUUAAUUGUCAGCAGCAGCCUAAGGUUGCUCAGUGAUAGAUUAAUAAGAUCAAGCAGAAAAAUAAAGGAUCCCAUUGGCCAGAGAAUGUGAGUGGAAUUCCUUUUUCACCUGUAUGGCACAAUGGUUGACAUUCAAGAGACAUUCAGUAAAUGUGGUUUGGUUAGUUGGUUGAUUGUUGAAUAAAUGUUUGAGUCCUGCACUCACUCCAGAACAUCAGACUAUUGGAUAUGAGGUUAAGUUUGACCAGAGGAUCUUGAAGAGGCUGUAUAAUGAUCAUAUCUUAAGUACUAGAAGAGUCAUUAGUGGUCUCAAACCCAUCUGCUCUACCCAUUGGAGACUUCUGUAGGGACCCUGACAGUGGCCCUCUGCCAUGCUUGAACAUUGUGAUCACUAAGGGCUUAUUUCACAUUAGCUUAUUUCAGGUCUAUGCUGUUGCUGGACAGCUUAGAUUGUGGGAUCAACUUGUGGGAUUGUAGCAAAAGCUCAUCUGCGCUUUGCAGAUUCUUCCUUAAAUAGUCAUAUAAGCCAGUUACCCUCAUGGGUAGGGAUGGGAGGGAGUCAGUCAAGGAGGACAGCAGUCCCCAAAACUUCGGGGAGGCUUUGUUAGGGGCCAUCUUCAUGUGUACCUCUUCAUCCCAUUAUGAAAGUACCCAGGGACUGAGAAUUCUUGGCAUUUCCCAGUGUUCUCCCUGGAUUUUUCAUAGUGAAGUUUUGAUAGGGACUUCUCUUAAGAGUCUCAUGAUAGUUGUUCCAAGGGGAGGGGGUAGAGGGGCAGGUAGAUGGAGGGCAGGAGAGGAUACAUGUUUUGCAAACAGUUCUGAGCUGCAGACAUCCCAAAGCAACCCUAAUAGAGGUAUGGAUUUCUGGGUAUGGUGAGUGGUAACCCCACCAUGGUCAUUGCCAGACCACAUCAAUUCUGAUUGUCAUAUUCAAUGAAAUAAGUCUCUGUAGAAAGGCUAUCAAGAAAUGAAGGCUCUGGAAGCCAUGAAUGAGGAAGAGAAGAGGGACUGGUAAUGCUUAGCUUGGUGAAGAGAACAUAGUUCCAGAUAUGAGGAGGGCUGUCAAGAAAGAGGGAAUAGGUUUGUUCAGUAUGGCUGCAGAGAGUGAGACAGUUAGAAUGGAGAUGGCUGUGGGAUAGGUUUGCCUCAGGUAGAAUUUCCUGGUAUCGUCAUCUAGAACUGAACAAUCCUUUUUUUGUUUUGUUUUGUUUUGGUCUUUGCCUUUUUAUUAUAGUUGGGAAAAAGCUGCAAUCUGGUUAUUAAUGAAAAUUUCCCCAAUAGAAGUUAGUCACUUUUUUGAAUAAUCAUAUUCUAAAUACAGACUUUAGGAAAAUAAAUUUAUAAAAUACAUUGUUGCUAAUUUUAUUUUUAGUGGAAAUGUGAUGCUUUUUAUCAUUCGCAAAGAGCCAGAUGCUUACAUUUCAUUAGUUUUAUUUCAGCAAACAUUUUCUGAGAGCCCACUUCCUGGCUGACAGUGUUAAGAACUGUAUGCUCCAAGAUGAGCAAACCAAGUAGUGUACCCUUGGAGAGUACUAGUGGUCCCACACUGCUCAUAGGGCCAUAGUGGAGGUGCUGAUUCGAGGGAGAAAUUAUAAUGAACUGGACACUGGUCUCUGGAAGUUGGAAAUUACCUAGACUGCUCAACAAACCUUUUACAUGAUUUAUAAAUUUUAAAAAUUCUCCCUAGAAACUAAGAAACUAUAUAAUACGGCUUUGUGAAAAUGCAACACCAAUUUACAGUUUUCAAAAACAUUUUAUCAUAAUAGUUAUGAAAAAGUUGUAAAAUUCAAAUGUAUUUCUGUGUAUCUGUAUUGGGUUAUCUCUGUAUCUUUCUUGUACUUUUUCCACUGCCAUUUUUUGCAGUGUCCCCUUUUCAAACCUCCUACCUUCUUCCUUUUCCUGUCCUGUAUCAAUAGACCUAGCUGAAUUUCGCCUCUGCAUAACUCAUUCUUCAAUCACUACUUUCUUAUCUGUAAUUCUUCAUUAUCUCGCCAUAUUUACUUACUAUUCUUGUAUUUCCUGAGUCGAAUUUUUAAUUUUUAUCUUUUUCUUUUACAAAGAAAUAGUAAGUCAGGAUUCAUUUGUUAUUACUUAUAUGGCCUUUGAUUUUUCUUUUCUGAGUCAAUGGGAGAUAGAAAAAACUAAUCCAAUGCCUGGCAUAGAUGAAACAUUGAGUAUUAGAAGAAAUGCAGUAGAGUUUGGGAGAGGAAAAGGUGUGCUCAGUAGCAUAGUGAGGUAACUGGGAGAUGGAGUGGGUCAGAGGGCCAGCUUACUUAUACCAGGGAUUAGAUUCAGGGUUUCAUGAGUAGUAAGUCAAGCCUUUUGAUUUAUUCCAAGUAUAGGACUUUUAGGUAUUCAGAUGAAUAUUUGUGAAGUUGUUGAAGAGAUGUAGCCAAAUGUGGGAAAAUCUUAUAGAGCAAAGUUUUAGCAACCCUGUCAUGACACCAUGAAACCCGAUUCAUUUCCUUUAAAAACCAUCUAUAUCAUUAGCUGACCUGUAGUAGUAGUUGUUGUUGUUGUUGUUUUAUAUAAGAGAACAUCUGAUUCAUCAACAGACCUAGCUAAAUUUCCUCUGCAUAGUGACAUAAUUAAGUCAAAUCGAAACUCUCACAUCAUCAUGUGAGGAUGAAACUACGUAAAGACAUGAAGCUGCUGGUUUGAUUUGGGAAAUCUAUAAAUAAAAUGCUAAUGAGAUAGAUAUACUAAAGUAGAAAGAAAAAUAAUUAAGUAUAUGUCAACAUGAGCCACAAUUCUUUUUUGUUUUUUCACUAGUAGAGUGAAUUGUGGCAAUUUAUGACAAUUGCAUAAUGCAGGUUUUUAAAAAACAUUAGUUUUGACUCAAACUUUUAAAAAUUAAAAGAUUUUAUCCUCUGUGUUUUUUUUUUUUUUGAGAUGGAAUUUCACUCUUUUUGUCCAGGCUGGAGUGCAAUGGUAUGAUCUCGGCUCACUGCAACCUCCGCCUCCCGGGUUCAAGCCUCAGCCUCCCAAGUAGCUGGGAUUACAGGCAUGCGCCACCAUGCCCGGCUAACUUUGUAUUUUUUUAGUAGAGACAGGGUUUCACCAUGUUGGUCAGGCUGGUCUCAAACUCCUGACCUCAAGUGAUCCAUCUGCCUUGGCCUCCCAAAGUGCUGGGAUUACAGGCAUGAGCCACCGUGCCUGGCCUCAUCCUUUUGUUUUUGAAAGUAUUGUAGAAAAUAUAGAAAAUAAAGGAAAACAUGAAAAUAAAUUAUAGUACAUUUAUAAGACAUAGAAAAGCAUUUUUAAAAUUCCCCCUCCAAGCCAGGUAUGGUGGCUUAUGCCUGUAAUCCCAGCACUUUGGGAGGCCAAGGCGGGCAGAUCACUUGUGGUCAGGAGUUUAAGACCAGCCUGGGCAACAUGGUGAAACCUUGUCUGUACUAAAAAUACAAAAAAUUAGCCGAGUGUGGUGGCAUGUGCCUGUAAUCCCAGCUGCUUGGGAGGCUGGGGCAGGAGAAUCACUUGAACCCGGGAGGUGGAGGUUGCAGUGAGCUGAGAUUGCACCACUGCACUCCAGCCUGGGCAACAGAGUGAAACUCCGUCACAUAAAAAAAAAAAAAAAAAAAAAUAUCGAAAAUCCCCCCUCCCAAGAGCUACUGCUGUUAACAUUUGGAUGCAUUUCCUUUCAGUCUUUAUUUACAUUAUUAAUUAUUAUGUAUAAUUUGUAUUGUGCUUUUCCAUUUGCCUUAUAACUUAAAACUUUUUCACUUCUAGUUACAAAUUCUUCAUGCAUGAAAUUUUUAAUGGCUUUACCUAUCGAAUGAACACAUUUUUAUCUAAAAUACUUGAUGACUAUACAUCACAUGCUGCCUGCAGACACUUAAAUGACUGGUGGAGUUUUGGACCUCAAGAGCCAGUCUCCUUCAGUUGUCAGGCCAUCAGCAUGGGCCUGGAGGCGAAGUGGCUUGUAGCAUGAGAAGCAGGUGGACACACAGGCUUCCCUUCAGACCCCACCUGAGUGCUUCCUAAUGUCUCCCCCGUGUGAGGCUUGGGCAAGUUGUGUGGCCUCUUAGGAGAGGAAGGCCCCUUCCUGUGCCCUGUAGUCAUCAUGCCCAAAUGUGCAGACCAGGGCUGGCCCCAUGACAAUGUUCCCACUGGUCCUCAAGCAAUGAGAAAAAAACAUAGACACGCUGUCAUGACUGUUUCCUCAAGUUAGAUAUGGGGGCAUUUGUGGCCUUUAUUCGAAGGUGAUGCCUGUUGAUGAAUGUGUGCACUAAACUGUUGUUUCUUUUACAAAAUGAAGAUAAUGAUAGUCAAUAUCUUUGUUUUCUGGACUCUUCCAUGGGCAUUACUUUUCUUUCAUGGCCUGCUUUGUGAAAUCCAAAAGUCUGGAAGCAACUCUUUUGCAGGCCAUCUGUGCCAAAUUAUUGGCAAUUCCCUGAGUCUUCCCAGCACAUCUUUGCUCACCCUGUUUCUACUUCCUUGAAUGCCCACCUUUGACAAGAUGACAGAUUCUGUCAAAACUCCCUGAAGCAGUACCCUGCCCCCCGAAGCUUUCUGGACCUGCCUCCCCACCGGGCAAGAUGAUCCUGUCCUCCUUAUAGUAACACUCAUUUCAGUUACUCAGUCCUCUGACUGCCUCCUCUGACUGCCUCCCCUAGAAAGUUCCUGAAGGAAAUGGAAUCCUCUUCAGAAAACCUAUCUUCAAAGAAGCCAGGUAAUGUUUGUCAGGGUGCUCCUGGCAAGGGAAUAGAGGAAGGUAAAACCUUCUUGCAGAUUACAUGGGCGCUCUGUUUGCUCUAGUGGUCACUGCUGAGGCUCCUGCCAGAAGGGACUUUCCAAUCAGCAUUGUGAGACUUUAUUUCAUCAGUGUGUUUAUUUCCUCAGGGGAAGAAAAUGUGGGGAAGACAAUGGAGUAAGAAAAUGGACAAUGGGAAGAAAAUGAGAUGACUGCUAAGUGAAUUAAUCAGUAAUUAUUUAGCCCAUUGCUAUAUCCCAUGUUUCAGCAGAUACAUUCGUUUUAGACAACUCUCACAUUUAAAGAUAAGUGACCUUUCCCCCCACUGAUUCAAAUUGAAGAUCAAUGUGUGCUUGUGUGGGAAUCUAGUUGAACCUGUGGGUUCAGGCUUUCCCAUUGCCUCUUUAUUUCUGUGCUUUUACCAACUGGAUGCACCUCCCUAUUUCUGACACUGAGAAGUUCACCGGUGAGGGAGGCAUGCCAAGGAGGACUUGCAAUAGCCCAAAAAGACAGGGCCUCAUAGAGCAGAGAGACUGGGGGUGGGGUGGGGACCUUUGAGUUUGACCCAGGCCUUUCUGCUUGCCUGCCUUUGCCUGCCUGUUUACAUUUUUGAUCUUCAGAGGGAAAAAAAUAGGUGAACUGUUGCCCUUUCUUUCUCCAUGGACGUCUUUCUUGACACUGGCGACAUACUUCUUUGGCACUUUUUCCAGUCUGAUAGGCAUUAAGAAAAAAAGAGGCUUUUCAUGCAUUUGUUGACAGAGCAAGAAAGGGGAUAUAGUUGUCUGGUUCAAUUGCUAAGAUAUGAGAAAUUGGGCUGCUUGAGGAGAGGAGGCUGUUUGCAGGCUCUGCAGCCCAGCCUAUGUGUGAAUGCUCCCUGGUAGCACAGGAAAGGUGGCCCACCAUCCUGAUUCCUUCACCAAAAAUGAUGGGGACAGCACGUAAUGCCAGGAGACAAAGAGUUAUUUUUGCUCUACUUGACUUUGGAUUGGGGGAAAGAUUUGAGUACCAUCUCUUCGUUAAUAUGAGAGCAGUAAAAUAGAUAAGUAAAGCCAACGUAAGUAGAAACCUCGCCUAUCCUUAAGGACUCCUCAGCUGCCCAUUUCUGACUACGUAAACCGCAAGGAGGUUUUCUUCCUCCAGACCCUGAGUUGCAUGUGUCAUUCACUCAGCAGUGAAUCAGUGAAUCCUGCCUCGUUCCUUUGUUGCUGUCUGAUUGUUUCAAGUGCAGUGAGUUUGUCUUCACAGCUAGUUCAUGAGCUUAUUGAGUGCAGCAACCAUGCAUUUUAAUUUAUUUCAUUAAAAAAGAUCUCUAACCUUAAGAAGGAACUUGGUAAAUGUGUUUCAAAUAAAUGAAUAGAUGGAUGGAUAAAUGAAUGAAUGAAUGCAACAGUUUCUUAGGCCUCACUCUGAUGAUAACAAGUCAAGUCAAGAAAUACUCAGAUAUGCCUUCUCAGUAGAUUAAAAGUCCAAAGACUAAACCGUAUGCUUAAAGAUAUUCUCUGGAGUCUAUUUACAAUAGCAAAUAAUUGGAAAUAUCCUAAGUGAGUAAUGAUGAGAGAGGAUUGGUUCAAUAAUGGGUACAUUCACUUGCUCUGCUAUGCGGCCUCUAAAAAAUUAUGGUGUGUAGCAAUCUAAAGAAACAUGUGGGCCAGGCACUGUGGCUGACGCCUAUAAUCUCAGCACUUUGGGAGGCCGAGGUGGAUGGAUCACCUGAGGUCAGGAGAUGGAGACCAGCCUGGCCAACAUGGUGAAACCCCGUCUCUACUAAAAAUACAAAAAUUAACUGGGUGUAGUGGUGCGUGCCUGUAAUCCCAGCUACUCGGGAAGCUGAGGCCGGAGAAUUGUUUGAACUCAGGAGGCGGAGGUUGCAGUGAGCUGAGAUCGUGCCACUGCACUCCAGCCUGGGCAACAGGGUGAGACUCUGUCUGAAAAAAAAAAAAGUAAGAAACAUGUGAUAAAGUGACAUACCACAUUAUAUAUAUAAUGCACAAAGAUCUGGGAAACCCAGUUGCAUGGGGAUAAAGGAAAGAAAGAAAUUUACCAAAAUGUAAAGAGUGGUUGUGCUAUGUUAAGAGUGAUUUCUUUUUCUUUUUCCUUUUUUUUGAGACAGGGUCUCACUUUGUCACUCAGGCUGGGGUGUAGUGGUGCAAUCAGUGCUCACUGCAGCCUCAAUCUCCCCAUGUUCAGGUGAUCCUUCCACCUCAGCCUCUCUCUCCACCCUCCCCCCAGCCCACUCCCAGGUAGCUGACACUACAGGUAUGUGUCAACACACCUGGCUAAUUUUUGUGUGUGUGUAUAUAUAUAUGUAUAUAUACUUUUUUUUUUUUGGUAGAGGUGGGGUUUUGCCAUGUUGCCCAGGCUGGUCUUGAGCUCCUGGGCUUAAGCUAUCCACCCGCCUUGGCCUCCCAAAGUGCUGGGAUUACAGGCAUGGCCCACUGUACCCAGCCAAGAGUGAUUUCUUUUCUCUAUUUUCCAGAUGUCUUGGAAGGUAGCUAAACUUUCAUAAUGUAAAAAAAAAAAAAAUUGUUUUUACUAGUAGAGGAAAAGUGAUCUGAAAGAAGUAUGUUAAGUGUGUACAGUUGCUGAAUCAGAAGGUGAGUACUUGGAUACUUAUUCUUUGGGCUUUUCUGUAUGAAGGAAAUAUUUUAUAAUUUUUUUAUAUAAAAAGAGAAAAUAGUACAGGUUGAGCAUCCCAGAUUGGAAAAUCUGAAAUCCAAAAUACUCUAAAAUUGGAUAUUUUUGGGUUGCUGAUGGGAUGCUCAAAGGAAAUGCUCAUUGGGACAUUUUGGAUUUUGGGUUUUCAGAUUAGGGAUGCUCAACCAGUAAGUAUAAUGCAAAUAUCCCAAACGCCAAAAAAAAUCAGAAUUCUGGGCCAGGUGCACUGGCUCAUGCCUGUAAUCUCAGCACUUUGGGAGGCCGAGGUGUGAGGUCAGGAGUUUGAACCAGCUUGACAAACAUGGUGAAACCCCGUCUCUACUAAAAAUGCAAAAAAUUAGCCAAGCGUAGUGGCGGGCGCCUGUAAUCCCAGCUACCUAGGAGGCUGAGGCAGAAGAAUUGUUUGAACCCAGGAGGCAGAGGUUGCAGUGAGCUGAGAUCACGCCAUUGCACUCUAGCCUGGGUGACAGAACGAGACUCUGUCUCAAAAAAAAAAAAACAAAACACCAAAACGAAACAAAAAAGCAAAAAACCAGAAUUCCAAAGUGCUCAGGUUUCAAGCAUUUUAGACAAAGGAAACUCAACCUGUAGUAGAUUAAAAGCAAGAACAUAGCAACAGUAUGACUAGUGUUAGUUAACAUUAUAGGAAGAAGAUCAGAACUUCUAUUUUUAAAUGACAAUACUCUGGGACCAUUUGGAAUAGGGAGACAAUUGUCUGCCAUCCCUGAGGACAACUCUAUUUAAGGGCUUAUCAUGCAGUCAGACUGUUGAUAAUGAUCACUCUGCGUCAUCAAGUAAACACUUGAUUAUAUUCAGUAGACUCUGUUUAAGAAGGCAUAGAAUUAGCACCUUUUAAUACUUAAUUAGUACUUACAGUACUUAAUAAGAUAAAUUUCAGUUAUCUGAAGAUUCACUCCUGUGUUACACCAGAACACCCUGAAUCUUGAAGUGCCGUGGGAUAGCUCAUGUCACCCUCACAGUGGGACAAGUUACAGAUCAUCUGGUAUAUCACUGUUCCCUAAAUGGAAAUACUUACUGAUCGAUCGAUCAAUGGGGAAACGGUUUUCCUUAAUUUAAUGUUGUUCUAAUCUUUUACAGUCAAGAGAUUUCUUCAAGAUGGCGGCCUGUCAUCUGCUGGCUUCUGCUCCUUAGUAUGGCUAGGCAUUUCCAACUCUUUGUUUAAAUUCUUGUUGGCUUGCCUAGCUUGACCCUCCUGACAGGUGCUAUUUUUGUACCUGGCCAAGUGGCCACAGCUGUGUUGACAUUUCUGCCAAAGACAAAAUCAAGGAAAGUCAAUAAAUAGUAUUUAGAAUAGUAGCAUGGGGCUUAUCUUAAGGCUUCUAGGAAGAGUAGAAAAUUGACAUGGAGAAAUGGAAUACUACUCAGCAAUAAAAAGGAACAAACUCCUCAUCCACGUAGCAACAUGCAUGACUCUCAAACCCAUCAUACUGAGUGAAAGAAGUCACACACAAAGGCUACGUACAGUUUGAUUUUACUUUAUGAAAUUCUAGAAAAGGCAAGACUAUAGGGACAGAAAACAGCAAAGUGGUUGCCAGGGUCCUGGAAUGGGGGAAGGAGAUUGUACGAAGAAGCACAAGGGAACGUUAUGGGGGUGCUGCAAAUGUUCUGUUUUUUUUUAUUGUGGUGGUGGUUACCCAACUGUAUGCAUUUGCCAGAACCCAUCAAACUACACACAUAAAAAUGGAUGACUCUGAUUUUAUAUAAAUUGUUUCUCAGUAGCUGUUAAGUGAUAUGGAAAGCUUCCAGUCACUUUCUGUGCUCUUUGAGGAUGGAUUGUUACCAAACCCUUCUCCCUAUUGUUAUUAUUUGUUGGAUGCCUACAAGAAACUAUGGUGCUAAAUAUUUUAAAAUGCUUCAUGUGGCGUUAGUUAGGGGUAAGAUUAAGUGGUUGAUGAUUAAGCUGCAGAGUCAGCAUAUAAUUUAUUCUUAUCUUUGGAUUUUCCUGGUCUCCAUUUCAGUAUGUGCUUAGGCGUGUUUUCGUAUUUACCUCCAGUAUUUUGGGAGGCAUGACCUCUUAGUAUCAUACCCUCAGUACCCGGAAAAGCAAAGAUUAUACAUGUGAACCUUGACUCACAGACUUUUUACUGCCCUGGACAUUUUAGUUACCUUUUCCUUUGUCCUUCUACUUGCUGGAAAUGUGGAUCCGGUUUAGAAGGGAUCAAGGAUGGGAGCUCUCUUGCUUUAUUUUUUUAAUUUUUCUAUCAGCCUAAAUCAUGCUUUGAUCUCUUGGUUUCUUUAUUCCUUGUUCAGUGAUGCAAACUCACUAUGACCUCUAUCAUUAGAUCUAGCAGUAUUGAAUGUGUUUGGAUAGUUCUGUGGAAAAUGAUUUUUAAAACAGAAGAGGAGAGUGAUCUCAUCUCCUAACUGUAAGUAAAAAGUAAAUUGAAAAAGUCCAACCAAAAUUAAUUUUAAGUUUCAUCAAAAUUUACAUUUUACUUUCCCUUCUUGGAAUAUGAGUAAUAAUACUGGAAGCCAAGUGCCAUUUUCCAGCAGAUUUACCUUUGAUUUAAAAAGGCUGAAAUCGGAAAAUUAGGAGUCUUUAUCCAUCUGUCCAUUUUCCUUUUUUAAAAAUUUAUUUUGGAGUCUCAUGUAUAAUAUAAAUGAGCAUAUUUGCUGCUAGAUGAUUAUACUGUGAUUAAACUGUGAUUAAAUAUAUUUAUUUUUGAUGUCAGCCUAUUGUGUGUUUGAUUUAAUUAUUUUUAAGUUAGGUUUUAUUUCCUUUUCUCUUUCCUCUCCAGCUGCUCUGUAAAGAGCCUGUACAGGCCCCUGGCAGUGAGCGAGCCCCAGCCUCCUGGUGACAGAGUGGUGUCACUGCUGAUUGGCAGGCAGGGCCUGAGACUCUGGAGCGAGACUGCUGCUCCCAUUGUUUCCUGCAAAUGUCUGCCUCUCAGGGCCUUGGAAACUGAUGACUGAAUAAUGCAGUGUAUACACACUGAGAACUUACAAUUCCAGACAGAACUGUCUGUUUCUCUUUCGAUGCAGUGUGCUGAGAAUAUGUGCAAAGCUUUGUGGGUCUCAUGCCUUCAACUCUUAUUUUCUCUUAUAUGUCAACCUUUUGGAGAUCAGCAGUAUCUUUAAUCUUAUUCCUAUUACUGGCUAAGGGCUAGGCAUUGAACUUGAAGCUGAUUUGCUGUGUGACCUUGGGUUUGAAUUCCCUUAUCUUAAAAUUGGGAGGAUAGCACUGUCUGCAGUGGAGAGAAUGUGGCUUAGAAAAUCUAAUUAGUGAUUAUAAAGCAAUUUGUAAACAUGCUACAAAUGCAGAACCUGUUCCUAGUUCUUUCCCUCCUCUUAACACCCCCACCCAGCAACUUUCAUUUUCAUGGGCUUAUUUGUUCAUUUAUUCCAUCAUUCAACAACGUUUUACGGAGCACCUUCUAGGCUCCAGGUACUAUUUUAGGUGGUGAGGAUUCAGCACUAAAUGAAAAUUGACUUUGAUCUGCUAGAGCUUACGUUUUAGGAGGAAAGACAGAUAAUAAAAUAAUAAACAUGACCUGGCUUACGGUAUAUAAGGAGGAGCUUAUAUGUAAGGAGAAAAUGAUAUUAUCCAUAAAAGGACCCUCUUUAAGACCUGCAUUCUGGCUGCAUUGAUGAAAAGAAUAUACCAUAAAUUCCUUUUAUGGAUAGUAUCAUUUUCUCUUCUACUUAAAGGAUCUGUCUAUAGCCCCAAAGACUGGGCGUAGGUCCAUCCGUCUCUUUGAUCAGAGGGACACUGUAGUAACUGCUAGAGGGUAGAAGAAACAGUUUUUCCGUUUAUUAAUUCCUUCCAUGAAUACUGAGCCUUCUAAACCUGGGACUGUAUAGUCAAUGGAACAUCAUCUCCAAAGGUUGUGUACCUGCAUGGAAUGGGAAGACAGGCACACCGGCCAGGAGCUAUAAUACAGUGUGAUGCUUUGUAUAAGGAGGGUGUAUAUGUUCAAGGUGUAGUGGUUGGAAGCAGUACUUGAGGGAGUCAGAGAAGGCUUCACCAGAGACAAAGGGCCAUAGAAAUUACUAUUUCUAUUCCAGCCUUUUAAAAUCAAAGUUAAAUUUGCUGGAACUUAAACUUGAAAGACAUGGAUGGGUUCUGAAGACACACAAGUAUCAGGAAGGGCUUCCUGAGCAGGGAACAGCACUACAAGGCUAGAGGCAUCACAGAGAAAGUCUGAUGACUUUUGGAAGUAGAAGUGUUUGAGUCAAUCUGCAGUGUAGAGAAGGAGAUGAGAGUUGUGGAAGGUGAGACUAGACCCAGAGGGUUGGACCUAAGCUUAAACAAAACUCUUCAUUCUCUCUCUCAGAGACUGCAGAGCAGUGUGGCCCAGUGACGAUCUCAGUAGCUGGUUGGAGGCAGGGUAGAGACUGAAAGCUCUCCUGACUCCCAGUACAAUGCUCUUUCUGCUCCAACACAAUGCCCAUACUUUCUAUCCCCAGAACACAGAAGAAGCUCUAGGCAGGGUUGACAGUGAAUUGGAUUGCAUCUGGUGUGGUUGUGCACGUUGUCACUGUGCAUGAAUGCCUGGGUUGGGGAAAGGGUGCUGAAAUCCAGCCUGCUCUCUGCUGGCCAUACCCUGCAUCUCAUGCUAGGUUGUUGUCCUACCCAGAAAUAGUGGUACCUCUUUUGAUGAAAGGGCCGCAUGGGCUAGCAGGGCCCUGGGUGGCCUGCUGAGACAUACUCUGGCUCCAAGGGACAGAUACAGUGAGCAACAUAAGUUCAACAGCAAGGCCUCCUAUACUUGAUGUCUUACUGAAGCGUCCUUUGUGCUGGGAGCUAAAAAUGGCAGGACAAAGGAAAGGUGCGCACAGUAGAAGGGCCUUGAGUAUUUGGGAAGUACUCAUGGAGUCACCUCCUCCGCUGCCUUUAGAACUUAUUUCUGACUCCUGGUGGUCAGUGCUCCCUAAGUAUUUUAAAGUGGAGGCUCCUCAGCGAGCCUCAGGGAGUAUGUUACUGCUCAACUGGCUCUGAAAGACUGAGUGUCACUGAGGGUUUAGAAAUGGUUCUCGAAGUGUGGUCCUCAGAGUACCUUUGUUGGAAUUGUUGCGUGUGCAUAUGUGUCUGUGGGUGGGGGGUGGUACAUACCAAAAAUCCUGGAUUCUGAACAUCACAUCAGAGUCUCUGAGGAUGAGGUCCAGGAAUUUCACUGAGCUCCCCAGAUGAUGUUUAUGGGCAGUAGCAUUUACGAAAUUCUGUUUUCAUGUCCUGUUUACAAAGAAGAGGGAAAAAAUGCUUGAACAUCAAGAAGGUAAUCCUAAUAUUUUUAAAUUAAUUUUAUUUCAUUUAAUCAUAUACCUUGAAAAUCAUUCCAUGUGAGUAGAAGUAGAACUGCCUCAUUGUUUCUAAUGACCGCCACAUAUUUUGCUCUGCAGAUGUAGUAUAAUUUAGCUAACUGGUAUUUUUCUGACUGUAGUCUUUUUUCUGACUGUAAACCCAAUAAGAGGUUGUAUAUUAAUAUUGACCAGUAACAAGUAUUAUUUUUAUAAUAAAAGAAAUUAGAAAAGAGUGUUUUGUGAAACUUUUUCAUUUUAAACGUGUAGGUAUACUGAUGAAGAUACUAGAAAUUAUUUCUUAUUGUGAUCUGUGGUCAAAACUCUGGAAGUCAUAGGUUAAGAGAACUAUAUGUAAAGUAUCUGUCAAGCACCUAACAUCAGAACCUUGCAUUUUCUUUCUCGGGGAGCAGUCACAGUAACUGCUGAACUUACUGUAUAUGAACACUUGUACUAAAAACCAGGAUUUCUUUUUCUUUUUUAGUUUAGUCUAUGCCUGAUACUAAUGAAGGCUUCCUGUUCUUAAGGCAUGUGUUAUUGAAGACAUCUAAUUUGAUCUUAGGGCCAUAAUACAAUCCUGUAAAAGCUGAAUUGACAGUCUUAUUGGAAUUAACUCAACAUAUUCUAACUGCACCUUUUUAACCAAGAAAACUGGCCUGGCUUGAGUAGCAUUGGCCUCUUACCAACACCUUACAGGAAUUUUCUGGCAUUCCAUGACUGUGUACCUAAAGAACUUAGGGCAAGUUCUCAGAAUCCACCUCUAUAGCUUAAAAAGCCGAGUCUUUGAAAAAUCCUUUCCUUAAACCUUCUGUUCUGGUUGUCAGGCUUUCCAUGUAGGAGGUGCUUGUUCAUUUUGUUUGUUAACUUCAACCUUCUAGAAGUCACAUGUCUCUGAGUUGUGUCUGUCUCGAUUUUCUAUUUCACAUUUGGCUUAGGAUUUCACUGUAACAGGAUACAGGGCUGUGGCUGCAUCUUUUGAGUCUAUGAAAUUUUGUUCUACUCCAAAUUAAAAGCUGGGAUAGCAUAACAUAACCAAGAGCUUACUAAACUAUAUGCUGUGAAUGAGUUUCACAUUGCCACCAGAUAUUCACAGCUGUAAAGUUCUUUCUGCAUUAAAACAUUGAACAUUUCCUACAACCAUUCAAAACAUUAUAACAGUUCAAAUUAUAUUUGAGCAUCACUUAUAUGGCUCCUUACGGAACUUAUGUAAAGUUCUUGAAGUCAGUGAUUUUAAGAAAUUGUGCUUGGAAUAUUUAUAAAAAUUCUUGCUAAGAUCUUUCCUAGUAUUUUAUUUCUCUUACCAUAACAAUGUGAUAUAAAGAAUAAAAAUAGAUUCUUCUCACCGGUUGCUGCAUAAAUGUUGUGAGGUUAUCUCUACUUUAAUUCAAUGUGUUGUACACAUAUUAUUAUUGACUCUAUGUGCUAUGAUGUGAAAAUGUUGGGAAGCACCAACAGAAUCCACGGGGGAGUGGACAGUAAAAUCUCCUGUAGAAUUUUUUAAGGGCGUACAUGUUCUCUCCCCACCCCGGAUCUACUGAGUCAGAAUCUCGGUGGGGUUUGGGGUGAGGGGUGGUAGGUGUUAUGUUUCCUAGACUGCAGUAAAAAUACUGUAGUGAGUAUUUCUGUCUGUUAGCCUUCCUCAUAUUUUGACACCUUGGUCACUUUAUUCUCUGCCUGUUUUCUGGGCUACUUAGAUUUGUGACUUUUGGCUGGGCGUGGUGGCUCAUGCCUGUAAUCCCAGCACUUUGGGAGGCCAAGGCAGGUGGAUCACCUGAGAUCGGGACUUCGAGACCAGCCUGGCCAACAUGGUAAAACCCCAUCUCUACUAAAAAUACAAAAAUUAGCUGGGUGUGGUAGUGGGCACCUGUAAUCCCAGCUACUGAGGAGGCUGAGGCAGGAGAAUUGCUGGAACCUGGGAGGUGAAGGUUGUGGUGAUCCAAGAUCACGCCACUGCACUCCAGCCUGGGUGACAGAGCGAAACUCCAUCUCAAAAAAAAAAAAAAAAAAAAGAUUUGUGACUUUCAACUUUUAUAGGAGCUGGAGACCUUGAAGGACUUACUUUGUCAGAGUAAGUACUUCUUUCUGCAACCUUUUCUAGUCUCCCUCCCCAACCUCCUUCUCUUUCCAGAAAGAACCAUGCCUUCUUCCCUGUUCCCCAAAUACGUAUACUCUAAACAUACCUCCACAUCACUUUAUCAUGUUUGUCCAUAGGGCUGUUACCUCCUACCCUGCUCUGAGUUCUUUAAGGGCAGGAUAUAGAUGUCUUCUUCAACCUUGUGUCCAAGGCCUAGUCGUUUAGUGGAUCCUCAGUAAAUAUGAUUAAAUGAAUGAAUUAUUGAGUGUAGGGAAACAGGAAAAGCAAAUCCUAAAUAUAUGGUUUCCUGGGACUACAAUAACUGUACCAUAAACUGAGUGGCUGAUACAGUAGGAAUUUAUUUUCUCCCACUUCUGGGGACUAGAAUUGUUGGCAUCAAGGUGUUGGCAGGGUUGUGCUCCCUCUAAAGGUGCUAGGGAAGGGUCGAUACCAGGUCCUUUUCCUAGCUUCUGGUAGUUUCUUGUCAGCAUAACUCCAGUCUUCAUAGGAAGUUCUCCUUGUGUGCAUGUCUGUCUGUGUGUCCACACGUUUCCUUUUUAUAGGGACACCAAUCGCAUUGGAUUAGAGGUCCAUCCUAAUGACUCAUCUUAACUAAUUAUAUCUGCAAUGACCCUUUUUCCAAAUGAAAUACAUUUUGAUGUACCAGGGGUUAGGACUUCAGUGGAUCAGCUCUGGGGGACACAGUUCACCUCAUGGCACUAACUGUUCCCUGGGCCUCUGGCUGAUGCACAGAAGAAGGAAUAUGCCCUUGCAAAGAGUUUCCUUUGGUGUUUCCAUGAAAAACUUGGCAGCUUCAUAGAUGGAGUGGGUUGAUGGCCCUUGAGGUCUUCAGGCACUGACAGGAGGAUACAAAAUCAGUGUUUUGUGACAAAAUCUAAACCAAGGUCACUACAGGCAGCCAGAAAAUUUGUCUCUGAUGGUGAAGCAAAACAACUAGUAGCAGGCCCCUGAUCUUCAGUGCUGGGCAGUGGGGCGGUGACUCAGUCCCUCCACUUCAGGUCUACCUUGACCUAAUUAAUUAGCCAGUUCACCAAGUCAUUCACAUUUAUGUGGUGGUACAGUUUCUAAACAACUGUCAUGUAUGUUAUCUCAUUUGAGCCUCCAGCCGCUCUGGGAGGUAGUCUGGGAGGUGCCUCUAUUUUAUAAAUAUGUAAACUGAGGGCAAAUCCAUACUCACAAGUGGUAAGUCUGGGGUCCGAGCCCAGGUCUUUGGACUCCUAAUUUAGUGCUCCAGCACUCGAUGUCUACAGUUUCCUUCCAGGACUGUCAGUCUUUGCAAAUGUAACACUCAGCAUAACAAGGAAAUCCAAAACCCUUUGGAGAAGAAGAAGGGUGGCAAAUAUUCUUCACAGAGCGAGUUAGGAUGAGAAGCCUACUAGGAUUUAGAAAUCAGAUUUCCUUUUUCUCUUUGAAAAGUGUCUUUAGUCUAAUCUUAAAAGCCUGUCAUGCCUGUCAAAAGAAGCUGGCAACAGGUGAACAGCGAAGCAUUCUGAGAAUGAGAAUAAAGGGUUUUUUAUUAGGGAAGGAAGGCAUAGCAACUUAAUAAUUACUGUUGAAAUAGUCAUAGCAAUGCUGAAGCUUCUCCAUAAUUUAAUCUAACUUAAUACUAACUGCCUCCUCCCUAGUGGCAAUACAUAAAUUAAUUAAUAGUAGGUUGGAUUUGAAGCUAUGUCUUUAUAUUUAGGCCAUUAUUAACUUGUUCUCUGUGCCUGUCUUACCUGGCUGGGUCUGUUCGUAGCUUCUGGCUCCUGCUUCCACUGUGACUUCUACCAGCAUCAGGCUUUUGAAAAUAUGUGCUUUUUAAAUCUGUGUUUAUUCCCUGCUGGUAAUAAAUACAUAAGCCCUGCAGAGAGUUUAUACCUGCUUGUUUCAUAGCAGGUAGUAGGUAUGGUUCUGGAACAUGGAUCUCUUUUCUUUAGUUUUUCUUGUGAGAAGCAUUGAACAGAGGAUAGUAAUUAAGACCAAGGGCUCUGAGUGAGAUUAUCUGGAAUUGAAUCCUGGCUCUGCCACUUACUUACCUACCGUGUGACUUGGGGCAAGGCACUUAACCUGCCUGUCCCUCAGUCUCCCCAUCAGGAAAAUGGGUAAUAAUUAAUUGUAUCUACCCAUAGGAUUGUCAUGACAAUUGAAUGAAUACACUGAAAGUUCUUGGAAGAGUGUCAGAUACCUUCUAAGUACCACUCACGUUGGUUCACACUAAUAAUGGAAUUCCUUUGGGCUCUCAGUUGCCAGAUGGUCUCAAAGGAUCGAAGUUGGCCAUCCUGAGUUUCUGGCUGCACGGCAGACACCAUUCCUGUGGUGACUAUUAAGAAACGGCAUCUGUGGAGAGGGGGAGGCAUCAUUCAGAAACCACUGCCAUCUAUAUCCCAGGGAUACGUAGAGGAAUUAUGCACAGUUCAUCCAAGAGCGCACCCUGUGGAGGCAGAAAAGGACUUGCAAGGCCUCUUGAGGCCUGUGAGAAAUGCUGUUAAGGAGACCUAGGUGGGGGAUUGGAAAAGGGCAUUCUGAUUUGCUAUGGAUUGCUUGUUCCAAAUAGAUUCCUUCCUUGUUUUGGAAUGCCGCAGGGUUGUGAAGGGUGACUAGCAGCAGGAGAGGGAGCUAUCAGCAUGAGAAGUUUGAUCACGAGGAAGAUGCUGUUGCUGAGCAGUUGACUGGUCUCCGUGCCUCUGGUCCACCCCUGCCCCUUACUUUUCACAGCUGUGAGAGUGGUAUUCUAAGACACAGAUUGAAUCAUGUUACUUCUCUACCUAGACCCUUUGUGUGUUGCUCCUUCCUGCCCUCAGAUGCUUACUGAGCCUCAGGGGCCAAACAGCACCGCAGUUCUCUGCAGGCUUUGGAGUGAGAGGUUCUGAGUCUCAGUCCCUACCCUACCAUGGUAACUGUUGAGCAACUUCACACAAGUCACUGCUUUCCAGUGCCCCAGCUGCCUCGGUAAGAUGGUAUCAGGAUGCCUAGCUUGUUGGGCUGUUGGGCAGGAAAGUGCACUUGCACAGGGUCUGGCACGGCAUAAGCAUUCAGCAUUGGCCAUUGCUAUUUUCUGGCCCUGCAGCCUCAUCUCCUGUGAGCCUCCUGUGUGAACACUCAUCCACCCUGCGGCCUGCAGGCUUGUCCACCCAUCCCACUCUGUGGGCUCCCUCAGGCCUUCUCCUUCAGGAAGCCUUCCUGGAAGUCCCUCGUCUUCCUCACCAUAGGCUGGGUCUAGACAUACCUUUGUCCCUGAACAAUUAGUACUUAGGUCAGAAUUGGGUCUCUUCAUGCAGUAUUUUAAUUCCUCCUCCUGUCUCUCUCCCUAACUAGACCACAAACUCCGUAAGGACAAAGACUCUGUUAUUCAUCUCUGAAAUUGUGGUGUGUGUUGAAAUGGUGAGUGUAUAGUGGGUGCUCACUAAAAAAUAGAUGGAUUUGAGCUGUCUAAUCAUACCACACAUUCAACUCAGUGCCGAAGGCAGCCCUGCACAGACCCACUUCCACCAAUGUGUUAUUUCUCUCUAGAUUCUGAGCACGCUGCUGUUUCUAGACUCAUCCUUGUUGGAGUGGUGCAGCCCAGAUCCCUAUAUGUGUCCAGGGAUUUCUGUCUUUUCCUUCUUGAGGGAGGUUGAAUUUUCCAUUUAUGAAAUCAGCAGGGCAGGAACUGGUUCAAUAUGGGAGAUAAGGGUAUUGGGUUAGAGUUAGAAAAACUGGUUUGGAAUCCCAGGCCUACCACUCAUUCUUAGCUGAACUACCUUAAUCAAGUAACUUAAACUCUGUGUCCCAGCUUCUUCACCUGUAAAAUAGGGAGAAUAGAGUGUGAGGGUUAUUUGAGAUAAUAAAUACCCAACGUUCAGCAGGGUGCCUGACACAGUGAGCAUUCAGUAAUUACUCCCUGCUGCGAUCAUGCUAGUUGUUGUUGUUGUAUUUUGGGCUUCCAUAGCAGCGUUGUAGAUUGGCAGUGCUAUCCAUACAUUUCAGAAGAAUGAAAUUAUUUCUUGAAGUGAAACAUGGAGAAUGGAAAAAGGUAUUUGUACAGUUGGCAAUCCCUGCAGCUUGCAGAAACUUCAUUACACAGAGUUGCUUAAAAUAAGAGAGCCAGUACAAUAGUACAAGACUCUAAUACAGGAAGAGGACCAGAGAUGAAUUGGUUGAUAAUCUCCAUCCACCUAGUUACAUAGAUACAAACAGAAUUUUAUGUUUAUACCACCUACUUAGCCAGAAUACCACCAGCUUGUUCAUAAGUAUUUUGUUCUUGGUGUUGCUGUAAAUGUCACUGCACCUCACCCUGAAAUGAGUUUUUAAGAGGUAUUUUAUGGUUCAUGCUCUUCACUAUUGAUCAGACUUAAAAAGUAAUUGCCUCUUUUGAAGCUUUCUUUUGCCCUUGAAAACAUCUCCUCCGUGUUCUUUCAAAACAGUGUUUCAAAAUGCCGUCCCCAGAUGUCCAUGUGUGGGGGGCGGUUAUCAGAUAAGAUUUGGCAGAAAGUCCUAAGUAAAGUUAUUUUGCUGUAAAUCCAGUCCAGUUCUUAUUAAAAUAGCCAAAGAACAUGUGGCUGUGAGCAUGUGGCAAGGUGCUGUUUGUUCUUAUAAGCAAUUAACUGACAUAAGAACAAUUGUAAAACUCGUAACAUGUAGCAACCCUUACAUAUUAAACAAUAUAUUUAGUGCUACGUGGUGAAAGCUCUGUCUCAUAUCUGCCUUUUAGUUAAUGUUUGUGGUAGCAACACAGCCUGCUUGUUAGGUAUCAAGCUGGUUGAGGAGAGAGGGCUCCUUAGUUUUGGGGAACACAAACUUUGGGAAUAGAACUGUCCAUGUUUACAUGUUCACAUUUAAUUUUCACUCAAACCUGUGUCUGUGUGUAUGCAAUGUAACCUGUGCAUGUUUGUAUUUCAAAUAGUCUAUAUUUCUCAAUUGUCAUUUAGGCUGCUACUAUAUAAGGAAAAUAUAGCUUCCCUACAAUCACCCAGUUAUCACUUAGGGAAAUUGCUACUGCAAACAGGAUAGGUCAUAGUUUGAGUCAUUUUAAGCAAUAGUGCAAGUAUAAUUUGUGCAUUCAUUUGGGGUCUGUUGAGCACGUGUAUACAUAAAGCACAAUUCUAGGCAUUCGGGAGGUAGCAGGAAUCAGAUGUGGAUUCCACUCCUCAAGGAGCUUAUAGUCCAAGCGAGAGAAUAUGUGUAUACAUAAAACCUUAAUACAAAAUAGAAGAUUAUAAAUGAUAGUGUAAAACAGUAUACUGUGGGAGUCACACACCUAUAUACACAUAUUUUUCAAUUCUCUCUUCUUAUAUCAUUUGGGUGUAAAAAAAAAAAUAAAUAUAUCACUUAGACUGGGUUCUAAUUGAUGGCCUGCAGGAACCAGGAUCCUGUUGUAUUUCUUCAGUAAAAGACAAAUAUUGGUAAAUUUAAAACAAUGAUAGAGGCUGGGCACAGUGGCUUGUGCCUGUAAUCCCAGCACUUUGGGAGGCUGAAGAGGGAGGAUCGUUUGAAGCCAAGAAUUCAAAACCAACCUGGGCAACAAAGUGAGAUCCAGUCUCUAUGAAAAAUUAAAAAAAAAAAAAAAAGCUAGGCAUGCUGGGUGUGCAUACCUAUAAUCCCAGCUACUCGGGAGGCUGAGUUGGGAGGAUCACUUGAGCCCUGGAGAUGGAGGCUGCAGUGAGCUGUGUUUGUGCCACUGCACUCCAGCCUGGGUGACAGAGCAAGACCCUGUCUCUCUCAAUCAAUCAUCAAAGAAACAAAUAUAUGUGGAGACCCAACUUGGGCUAUUAGAACUAUAAAUAUUUAGUUGGAGAUGAUUAUUGGCUAUGCCUUUGAAACUAUUCAUAAUAGAGAAAUUCCCAAAUUAAAAAAAGAAGUGUCCCAUAUAGUUACUGAAAAUCUUUUUUGAAUAGCCAACAUGCAUGGAGUGCUCAGUACCCACCAGGCGCUGUUCAAUGCACAGGGUUGACAGCAGCCAUCAAGAGAUGACACCCCUGCCUACAGGAAGUUUGGGUUGUAGUAUGGAAGACAGAUGCUAAGUGAAUAAAUAAAUAAACAAGAUAAUGUUUCUUAUAGGCCUAAGUGCUAAGAAGGAAAUAAGCAUGUAGUAAGACUGAUAUAGACAAGUCGUUAUGUAUGAGUUUUGUGGAGUGGCAGUGGGACAACAUUGGUUAGGGUCAGGGAAGGCCCAUCUGGAGAGGUGAAAUUUAUUGAGACCAGAGUGAUGUGAAGGACUCUCUGGAAGAAGACUGUUUCUCAGAGGAAGCAGCAAAGGCCUAAGGCAGGAGCAAGUUGACCUGUUAGAGGAACAGAAGGAAAACCCGUAUGGCUAGAACACUGAGUAAGGACCGUGGUGAGGUUGGUGGGGGAGCUGGUGUCCUGGGAGGCCAUGAUAAGGAAUUAUGACAGUGGAUAGGUUCCUAGGCUAGUGCACAAAAGACCAUUUAUCUCAAAUGGAAGCCCGGUUCUAGGUUUUUUUCCUUUUUAGUGAGACUAAGUUGAAUUCUGGGGCCUGGAAGCAAGUUGCUGCUAGGGAAAGAAGGAAGAAGAGAAAAGAACAUUUGUUUUCUUUCCUGGAUCCUCCUGGCAGAUCUUAAAAAGCACAAUUUAUGUCAUCAUCUCUUUUCAUCUAGAGACCUUUAUCUAAGCAGCUGAUAGGCUUAUGAUUCUUGGAUUUUCUUUCCCUGUUGUGAUACUGCUUCCUUGUCAUAUCCCUGUAGCACUCCAUUUUCUGAAUUUAAUUUUACCUUUCUUCCUCUUUUAAUCAUUCUCAGUCAAAACUCUCAUUCCUUCAGGGCAGCUGAUGGUAGCUGGUAGUAGGAAAGUAAAUCUGAUUCAUAAUGUGCAUAAUGGAUGUGGUCUGGUCCACUUAUCAAGUCAUUUGCAUUUUACAAAGGGUGUUUGUUAAGCCGAAUGAAUCUUCUGUUUUAGUGAACAAGAUGGUAAAAUAAAGAUGAGUAAUCUAUGUCAGAGGUUUGGAGGGUGAUCUUUUUUGGGAAGAGGUGAGCCAGCCUUGUUUGCUUGCCAGAGGUGGUUUGCUUCUGUGCUUAAAGCACAUCUGCUUUUACGGCUUCUUCCUUUCUUCCAUGCACAAAUUCUCUUGAAAGUUCCAUUUUUAUCCAUAAAGGUAUUUGUGUUGCUACUGCAGCAGCAGCAUGGAGUUCCAUAGUCAGGAGUACACAGUGUGAAGGCUCAGAGAUGGGUAGGGGUGGGGGGCAGUGGUGACAAUGUAUUUAUCAAUUGUUUGUAAAUUGAAUAUUUAUACAUUGAGAGCUAACUGUAUUUUGUUUGAAAAGUUUCACCUGCAGUUGGAGGAUCUGAAAGAUGUGAUUAUGGUUGACCUUUCUUCCAUGUCUAUGUUUAAUUUCCACUCUAUGUGUAUGCAUGUGGAUGCAGGGUAAUUCUGAAUAAUGCUAAUGAUGAAGGGUCAUCAUUACACAGAAGAUCAUUCUAUGCUCCUAAUUAAAAUUAUGGCUGGAAAUUGCUUCCUUAUGUGUAGCUCCAAUUGCCAUCGCAAUAAUUUCACUUUAUAACUUCUAUUUAAUCCUCUCCUUACCACCCUUAAGAAUCUUUCCAUGUCCUUGAAGUUGACUCCUUUGAAAUCUUUGCGGGCAGCCCUGGUUUCCCCUAAGCUAUGGGUAUCCUGAUACUUUGUUCCCACAAGUCUUUAAGCUUCUAAGUAAAACAGUCUUUGCUCCCUCUUCUCCCACUGCAUUUUUAAUGAGUUCUGGUUCUGGAACAUGAUUUAAUUUCAUGUUGUGGUCAAUAUUAUAAAUUAGCUGAGCCUUGCUGAUCCUCGUUCUCCCUAAUGAAUUCAUUGCUAACUGUCUUUUGGGCCAAGACUGCCAUGUAUGCUUACCCUAAUUAGUAUUCUCUGAUGGAAACCAAGUGACCAAUAGCUCACAUGUUUUCAAAAUGAGCACUUAUUGCAUUCCAUGUCAUCAGUUAUAGUAGGAAAAUUACAUGUAAUGAUAUUCUCCAUGGAAUUCCAAGUAGGAAAUGUUUUACCCGAGAAGCAUCUGAUCAUGAGGGUAGUAGGAUCAAAGAGUAUUUUUUUUUCAAAUCAAUAUUUUAUGUGGUCAGUCUUUGCCCAUAUAUUCCAGAGAGAUUGUUUAGUACAAUAAAUUUGAAGAUUUGUGCAUUGCAUUUUCCAUUCCUUUAAAUUUCAAGAAUCACUUCUAAAUAAUACAUCGAGUGAAGUGUUUUGUCAAUUUUCCCAUAGCAGAAGAAACUUUUGAGAACAAAUGCCCAUGGCAAAGUAACAGCCCAGUUUUCCAACCUAGAGCUUAGAAAAAUUAGGCAAUAUUUGACUCUCUGAGAGUGGUAGCAAAACUCUAUGCAAAUUGUAGGAUACUGCUCUGGGAUGAGCCCUGAAGAUAUGUGGUUAGUGUUGAGAAGUGCUUAUUUUGGUCAUUUGUUGGAUGAAUAACAGAAUGUUGAACAGAGCUUAGUCCAUAUAUUCAAAGGCAAGGUUGUAUCGACCAUGGACCAAAUGUCUGUUCAUUUUGUGAAAUACUUAUAGGAAAAAGAGAUAAUACCUAUAAUUUUAAGGAUUUUUUAAAGAUUCUAGUCAUCUAGUGCAUAUUGUGGUUUUAUUUAUGUAAGGAGAGAAGGCUCUGGUGAAAUAAAAAGUGUUUUGGAAAGGGAUUGAGAAUCUUCUGUUAUUUUCCCUAACACAGGGCAAUAGGGAGAAAGUUUAUUGUGUACAGUCAGGUAUACUCAUUUAGAUUUUUUUUUUUUUAAGUGAUAGAGAACACUGAUUUUAAGGGUCAUCUGUCUUUGUGAAUAUAUAAAUCACUGACAUGCAAUUCAAUCAUAUUGCAUUGAGGGUUCCCAGUCUUACUGAAACAAAUGAACAAUCUUUUGUCAAGGAUAAUUUGGCAUAGAAACUACUAAGGGAAGUUAGGGCAUCUUAAAAUUUUGUAUGUGAUUAAGUUAAAAGCUCCGGAAUCUCUGAUGUAAGGCCUGAGAAUCCUUUGUUUCUGAAAAGCUUACCAGGUAAUGGUGAUGAUAAGCUCAGUUUGGGACCAUGCCCGAUAAUUCUCAGAGAAUUAUUAUUCACAAAGAUUUUCCCAGAAUAUAUAACUUUUCAUGAUAGUAGUGAGGGAUCCAUGGGUCUGAUUCCAUUGUAAAGCAGUCGUCAGGCCAAAUAUUGAAAGAUUAAAUUAAUCUAUGUUCUUUGGCCCAACACACAUACAUUUGGUAUUCUAUCCAAUCUCUUGGGUUCAGGAAGUUGCGGAAUAUUGUGUGUGGGCAAUAGACUAAGGAAUGGUGAGCGAGCACCCUUUCGAGAGAGAGAGAAAUACCAGUUAGACUCCUGAUCACAUUGGAGUACCACUCGACAGUCUACAUAGAGCUUCAUGUUUUAUCCCAUGUGGCCUUCAGAAAACCCUGAGUAAAUUAGCACAGAUGCUGUUUAGUAGCAUCCAUGUUUUCCAGAUGAGGAAACUGAAACAUAGAAGCAUUAAGUGGCUUGCCUGCAUUCAUGUGACUACUGUGUUGAAGCUUUUACAAGCUUUCUGAUACCAAGCAGGCCUUGCAAGGGAGCGUGAAUGUAGGUUGUUACAUAAACUCACAUUCUUUGUGUCUCAUUUAUAAACAUGCAAGAAUUUAGCUCUCAGUUUAUGAUGAGUGCAUUCUGUGAAAUAUAUUUAUUUUUCAACCACUCCCUAGUUGAACAGAAUUAGUUUGUAGACUCUCAGGGCAGGUUAAAAAAACAUUUUUGUGGGGGGGAGGGUCCUCAGUUUUGUUUUUUUUUUUUUUUUUCCAGUAGAGUCUUUUGGCUCCCUUUGGAUUUCAUGAGAAAAACCUUUGUCUAAUACAUUUCAUUAAAGUGGAUACUUGUUGUAUGAAUAUAUUGUAGAUGUAUCCAGAGGCCUCCAGUAAUGUGCAUGCUUUCACUAAAAUGAGCUAAUGAGCUAGUAAAGAUUACUAAUAAACUCUGCGUCAAUACAAAACCAGUUUAAUAAAAACAGAUUUUUAGCAUACUUGUACAAGUGACAAAUAUUUGUAUUUAUGUGCUGGUUACAUAGAAUUUUAAUUCCUUGAUUUAAAAAAAAAUCAAUAGUUCAUGUUUAGGCAUUCUUUCACUUUAUAUCUUAAAGAAUUGAGGAGUGGUGGAAAGAUAUCGAUAGUGUUAUUAGAUGUAAAAAACACAUAACACAGUAACUGCAUAUACUCUGAUCCCACUAUUAAAAAAAAAUGUAUUUGGAAACAGCCAGCACAUUAUCUGGGAAAAUGUAAUGUACCAACUUAUCUCUGGAUGAUGUGAUUGUGGGUAUUUUAUACUUUCUCCCUUUUGUUUUUCUUUCUUUUCUUUUUUAAAUUUUUUAUAAUGAACAUGUAUAACUUUUAUUAAAAGAAAAAAUUACUUAUUAAAAACUUACUUUAAUGAGAGACAUACAGACUUUUUCUCAGCUGCUUUAGUAAACACCCAUGGGAAAAGGAACUUGUAGUUCUUUUGGUAUAGCAUUGCUUUGUUUCCCUAAGUUAAAAAGCCCUCUCUCUUAUGCCAUAUUAAUACCCCUUGAAAACUGGAAAAGUUACCAUGUAGAUAAGUUAAACACAAAUCCCUGUAUGAAAAUCACCUGGGCAGAUUCUUGGACCCCCCCCAAAAAGGCAGAUUCUUGGGCCCCAGUUCACACCAAAUGAAUCAAAAAUGUUCGGGCCCCAGAAAUCUCCAUUCUUAUUAGGCAUCACAAGUGAUUCUGAUGUGCAGUUACAUUUGAGAGUCAUCCUUCUGCUUGUAGAUUUCUCCAUGUGUAGCUGUCUUAUAAUGUUAAAGUAUCUUCUAGGCUCUUUUUUCAUCUUCAGAGUUUUUAAGUAACCAUACAGCUGCAUAAUAUCCAUUUUGUUGUCAGGAACACUAAGAGAUUAUAUGAUUCUCUCUAAAAUAUGAGAGGUAGAGGGAGUUUGGGGGGUAUUCACAGAGGGUCUUCUUGUAUGACUAAGACCCUCUGUCCAAUGCUAGGGAGCUCCUGCUGUUUAGGAUGGAGACCUGACAGCUGGCCAUGAAGGGUCAAGGAAAAGAGUCUUGCAUAAAAACAGAGAACCCAGUGAUUCUCAGAGCUACUCUCAGAAGGCUACCCCAAACUUAAGUUUCCUAAAGAAUAACUCACUUUUUUCUUUUUACUUCUCUCCCAGUCAGAACAAUGGGUUAUCUUAAGAAAUCACUAAAUCAGCAUCUUGUGUUCUGAGUAGUACAUUCUUUUGAAGAAGUCAUUAUGUGAAAGAAUUCACACCAUGAAUGUGCUUAUUUUGAAUGUGUGCCAUCAUGCAGGAGGUACAGUGCAGCUAUCCUUGGUUUCCUGUUGAUUGAAAUAAUUUGCAGCAAGUCAGUGCUAAGUAUAAACUCAGCAAAUAUGAAGUCAGUGCUAAGUAUAAACUCAGCAAGACACACCUUCUUGCUGAAUUGGCCUGGAAUGUUAGUUCUGAAAUAUACUGUGCAUCAGAAGCUUCUGGAGGGCUUAUUAAUUAAUGCACAGGUUGCUGGGGCCACUGCCAGAUUUCUAAUUCAUUAGGUCUGGGGCCGGGCCUGUGAAUAUGCAUUUCUUUAUUUAUUGUUAUUUUUUUUUUUAGACGGACUCUGUUGCCCAGGCUGGAGUGCAGUGGCACGACCUCAGCUCACUGCAACCUCUGCCUCCCAGGUUCAAGCGAUUCUUCUCCCUCAGCCUCCCAAGUAGCUGGGACUACCUGUGCGUGCCACCACACCUGGCUAAUUUUUGUAUUUUUAGUAGAGACAGGGUUUCACCAUAUUGGCCAGGCUGGUCUCAAACUCCUGACCUUGUGAUCCACCUGCCUCGGCCUUCCAAAGUGCUGGGAUUACAGGCAUGAAGCACUGCGCCCAGUCGAAUAUGCAUUUCUAGUAAGUUCUCAGGUGUUGCAUCAGCUGCUACUCUAGGGACCAGACUUUGGGAACCACUGACCUAGAAGAUACAUCUCAGUAACCAGGACUAUGAUCACAUCUACAACCUGAUUCUUAACUCACAAUUUAAUAUGGCCUCCUGGAACUUUGAGUAGAUGCUACUAAGAGAGGAUAUCUCUUUUUUGUAAUUGAGUGGUAGGCCACCGAAAUGGUUUGGCUGCGUCCCCACCCAAAUCUCAUCUUGAAUUGUAGUUCCCAUAAUCCCCAUGUGUUGUGGGAAGGGCCUGGUGGGAGGUGAUUGAAUCAUGAGGGCACUUCUCAUGAAUCAUGAGAACACCCGCCAUACUGCUGUUCUCAUGAUAGUGAGCAAGUUCUCAUGAAAUCUGAUGGUUUUAUAAGAGGCUUUUCCCCCUUUUGCUCGGCACUUCUCCUUGCUAUUGCCAUGCAAAGAAGGAUGCAUUUGCUUUCCCUUCUGCCAUGAUUGUAAGUUUCCUGAGGCCUCCCCAGCCAUGCUGAACUGUGAAUCAAUUAAACCUCUUUCCUUUAUAAAUUACCCAGUCUUGGGGAUGUCUUUAUUAGCAGUGUGAGAAUGGACUAAUACAGCCACAUUUUCCCUUUUUUUGACAUUUAUCUCUGCUUUUCAUGAAAUAAAACUUUUUGGCACUUUUUUUUUCUUUUAGACCUCCCUGGUGAAAUGAGGUGCCAGUGGUGUUUCUCUCUAAGGGUUAACAUGAAUUAAGGCAAGCCUGGUGAAGGUUUGUGUUUUCCAGUCAGGCAUCACAACUCCCCUUGCAUACCUUGACAUUGUCACCAUUCCCAAUGCAGGUCCAUGCUAGGCCUCUUGAUAAACGAGGUUCCAUCCCACUUCCACAGCUUCCUCUGGCAUCUGUAUCCCCACCCUGACAUGGGUUAUACCUAAGGUUACACAUGUUUCUCUGAAGGGCAUUCGCAUUUAAUAGUAACCCUUAAAUACUUCAAAGACUGAAGGCAUGACUUCUAAGGCUAUAAUGAGAUGCUCUGCAGGAAGGGUCUGUCCAUUUUCCCUUGCCCCAGUACUCUUAAGGUUAGCCUUAGGAUCCUUCACCUAGUAUGCAGCUGUCAGGAGACUGUCAAUUCUAAUGAAAAGCAAGCUUCAGAACUUUCUGGAAUAUAUGUCCUGUUGACCACUGCCUGGGAUAUCCCAGAGCCUUGAUUGAGUGUCUGGAACAAACUGUUCAUUGAGAGAUGGGGCUUUGGCCAGAAAAGCCAUUCACUGUUUUCUAGAGGAGAUCAGUUUAAGAAUGUACUUUCCACUGGCAUGGAAGCUUUUUGGGGGUGGGGUAGGGUUGGAAAGGGACUGGGCCUUGACCUGGAAAGGAGAUGACCUUUAGGGUUCCGUGGACUCACUCUCUCUUCUCUUCCUCUCUCCUCCCUUCUUGUUUUCACUCCUCCCCUCCCCUUCCUUUCCCUCUCCUCUUCCUCACAUGGCAGACUUUUGCUCCUGCACUGUACCCUGAGGUGGCUCUAGAGACACUUGUGUCCCUGAAACACCAUAAGGUGGGGAAUGGGGAGUACAGUCUUGUUGGAAGAUGGUUUAGGAGCUUAUCUCAAAGUUGCUCCUCUUGCAUCAUCAGCGCUCCCCUUCCUGUUCUGCGUCACACUCAGGGCCUCUGGUCUCUGUGCUGUUCCAAGGUCAUUCCUGCCUCUGAGUGAGACUCGCUUCCCCCCACCUUGCCUGGCUUGCUCCUUUUCCUUUAGGUCUGUGCAGAAGGUAUCCUCCCUCCAAAAGACCUUAUCCAAAGUGGUCCCCCAGCCAUGCCCAUCCCCCUCUCCUCAUUAAGCUACUUUUUUCUUCCUAGCUCUUAACACUACCCGAAAUUAUUGUUUCUAAGUUUAUUUGUGUAUUUGUCUCUCCCCUGAACUACUAGGGGUGAGAGUAGGAACUUUUUCUAAUUCACUUCUGUGUCUCCAGCUCCCUAAGAUCAUUGCCUGGCAAAUAGUAACUGUGCAAUAAAUAUUUGUUGCAUGAGAGUGAAAGUGAGGCAAGCACAUUGCUUUUGUCUGGAGUAGUGUGUUACUAGGGUAGCUUUGGGGGAUGAUGGAGAUUAUGAAGGGGCUACAUCCUUCCCAUCCCUAACCCCUUCCUGAUGCCUCCAUUUACUGGAAUAUGCUACACUUGAACCAUAGGAUAAGGCCAGGGUAUAGCUGAGGAAGGCUGCCUUAUUUGGCAGUCUUGUAGGGAAUUUGUUUGCUUGGAUCCCAUUCCGGUGGAGUCACCCAAAGGUCUUGUUCCAUCUGAAAAACUACACUUGAGACCAACCUUGGUCUUGGGUUGGCAAGGCCCUUGCAUCAGCUGAUGGAAUUCUAAGCUGAAAACAUCAUCUGUCUCUAUCAUUUAGCACUGAUGAGAAACCAGUGUUUGAGAAAUCACAAGGCCCAGCAAUCUCAUUUUUUAGUCAUCUGUCAUGCUUGCACUGAGUGAGGGUGGUGGUGAGGUGGGACAGGGAGGACAGGUACAGGAAAAUGCCAGACAAGAUGGGCAACCCUGGCAGCUUGCAGUCCUUCCAAGGGAAUAUCCUCAACUCUAGUGCUUUGAACACCAGAAUGAUGUUAAUCAGGGGAUUUUUUGUAUCAGCAUUGUCAACAUUUACAUUCACUUUACACAUUGGAUUUGCAUCUGAAAAGACCAGCUAUAAUCAACAUUUAAGGGAUAACACUCAAAUUUGCAUCUGAUUGAACAGACAUGUUAAGUAAUUUUAGCCCCGCUGUUGCUAGGAAACCAAUUAAUAAUGCUCCACAUUUCAUUAAAAACCGGUUUCUAUCUUUGCUUUCAUUUAACUUCACAAUUCAGCUGCUUGUGCUGCACUUUUUCCCCCUCGGUAAAUUGUGACAGAUAAAUUAUCGUUUUACUACAUUUAUUUCUGUGAUUACAAUUGUUAGUCAUAUCUGUCAAUACAAUUUCAAAGCUUUUAAAAAAUGCUUUAGGGGGGAAAACUGAAUUUUAACUGUUAAUCAUUUUUUUCCCUUUAUAGCUUAUUGGGUCUUAAAUAAUAUUUUUGUGAAGGCCUUCCAAAUUGUGGGUUAACAAAAAAAAAAAAAGCAAUCUUCCCUGUUCCAUAAUUGCACCUUCUCAGUGUGGUGACUAAUAAUUAGAAUAUUAGGCACUAUUCAGAAAGUGACAGACAGCUGAUUAAGCAUUCAGCUGCAUUUUAUUUUUCUCCGCUUUCCAUGGUUUGUAGGCUAGAUCAGGUUCUGUCCUUUAUGCAGUGCAAUUAAAAUUUUUAUGACUUUAUUUUACAUAAUAGACCCUGCUUUUAUAAAGAGAAAGUAUAUUUUUUAGCUACUGUAAUGCCCCUUUGAGCCAGUCAACUGGGUAGUUGCAUUUAAACAGUAAUGACAUUGUACAGUUUAGCAUUUUGUAGUAUUGAUCUGAUCAAAAUGGUCAUUAAAAAGCAAAAUUAGUUCCUAUUCACAUCUGUUCCACAGCAUUUCAGUCACUUUAUUUAAAUGUGUCUGGUUCUUCAACUUAGUUAGAAUGGUGAUCUCCCCCCUUUUCUAAGGGCUAAGAAAAGCAAAAUGGAAUCUGCUUUCAUAUUUUAUACUCCACUUUGAUCUUUUGAACUGAAGGUAAAGUGCAAAGGACAUGGACUUUGGAAGCACAUGGCCCUGCAGUCAAGUUCUGGCUCAGCCCCCUCUGUGGCUUUGAGCCUCAGUGUCCUUAUUGGUCAAAUGAAGAUGAAAGGACGGCACUGGGGAGAAGAUGACACCCAGGAUGGUGAAGAGUGGGUUGGGCAGCAGAUACUUGGAACCUCUUCCUUCCCUUUCUCUCGAGAACCGCUUGGGCUGCCACAGCACACAAUAUCACAGGCCAGUUGAUGUUAAGGGUAGAAAUGUAUUUUUCUCACAGCUUUGGACACUAUAAGUCCAGGAGCAAGGUGCUGACAGGGUUGGUCUCCUCUGAGGCCUCUCUGCGUGGCUUGCAGAUGGCCGCCCCCUCGCUGUGUCCUCACGGGGUCUUUCCUCUGUGCAGGCACACUCCUGGGGUCUCUCUGUGUGUCCUGCUCUCCUCUUAUUAAUCAGAUUGGAUUAGGGCCCACCUUAAUGGUCUCAUUUUAACUUAAUUUCCUUUUUAAAGGCCCUGUCUCCAAAUAGUUACUUUCCGAGGCACUGGGGGUUAAGACUUUAAUAUUUGAAUUUUGGAAGGACACAAGUCAGCCCCAAACAGGGACUGACCGAGAUGCUGCAUGUGGCACGUUGCGUCUCCUGUUCACUCAGUUUUGUUCUUUCUCAGCAGUCAAAACAGCUGAAACAUCAACAGAAGAGCCAGGAAAUGGGGUUUCUUGGUUGUGACAUUUCUGUUUAGGUUAGAAUUGAUCAGAAACAGUAAUAUUACCUGCCCCCUUGAUUUUUGGUUAGUAUUUCUACCUUUUUGGAUCUGUUCUAUGGCCACUUUUUCCUGACCUUAGUAAGAGUCAUCAAUCCCAGGAUUUUAAGACGCUUAUUUCCACCUUCCAUCAUUGCUAUAGAUGUGUAUGUACAAGGUACAGGUGAUAGGGAUACAUGUCCAUUUCCAUUUUUAAAUGAAUUCUGGGAAAGUGUGUGCCUCUUGACGUGGCUGGCAGGGGCCAGGCUUUGUGGCCAGCACACAAUGGGCAUUUAGAAUAUAAUGACACAGACACUAUAGAGAAGGUCAUUCGUUCAUUCAGCUAAUCUUUUCUGAGUGCCUACUAUGUGCUACUGUGCUGGUCACUGGGGUUGCAAUGAUAGACAAAAAUAGUCAUGGUCCCUACUCUUAACGGAGCUUACAGUCUAGUGGGGAAAUAGACUUUAAUCAGGUCAUAUCACAGUUCUACCAGUACAGCUCUGAUAAGUGCAGGAAAGGAAAGGCAUGGGCUGCUGUGAGGGUGAAUAAUGUUGAGGGGUUAAGGAAGGCUUUGCUGGUUGAACUGAGAUCUGAAGAAGAUGAGACUUACUUCGAUGAAGGGGUGAGUGGUAGGGAUUGAGGUGCUGGGGGUGGUCAUGAUUCGGAAUACAGGGAGGAACAUUUCUCAAGAGCAAACUGCAUGUGCACAGGCCCUGAGACAGAAAGCAACUUAACAUGGAAGCAAUGAAGAAAAGGGCAGUGUGGCUAGAGGAGAGAGGGAGGAUGGGGCAUGCAGGGUGACGUAGCUGGAAAGUCUCCUGGGAAGGCUGGGGGAGUUGGAAAAAACUUCCCAGGGAGGUGACAUCUUUGUCUUUAAGGAUAAAUAGAACUGAUUGCUGCUGGUAGAGAAGAGGGAGAGGCAUCUUUAGAUAGGAUAUCAGCAUCUUGGUGUGUUCAGGAAAUAAUGAGAGUUUCAUCGAGGCUGAAAUGUCACUUAUGUGAAGGAACCAUCAUUCCAGUUAAUGGAAUUUUAUACUUCUCUGCGUUCUAGCUAACUAGAGGCUCACUAGAUUUUCCAAAUUGGGAUGUAUCUCCCUAUAACUAUGGAGGGGCUCAUUACAUAGAGAAUGAAUGAAUGAACACAUGAGUGCUGCGUCCCUGCUUGAGUGGUGUUGGUUGGUGUUCCGGGAUUGCCCUAACCUUACAAACAAUGAUACGUUAAUAUUUCAUCUGUUCAGGUCUGGUGGAUUGAUGGAAGGCAGGCCGCAUUGACAUCUCAGGCCCAGCUGGUUCCUCAGCCACUGUUUUCUCCUCCUUCACAGAUCUGGGCCUGGAGAAUCCCUUAAAUCCUGCUUGGUGCCCCAGCCUCACCCUAGUUGCUUGAACCAAUUUCAACUCAAGCCAGGAGGCGCCCAAAAGAGCUCCAGCCCUGUGGUCUGGGUCAGCAGUUACUGUUAGGCUGACCUGGGUCAUGGUGGCUGGGUUCUGGAAAACAAGGUUCAGAUGUUCACAUAAGCUGAGCUACAGAGCAUGUUCCAGACAUGGUAGGAGCCUGGAUUGGGUGGAAGAUGCCCGUCCUAUUUGCAGGGGAGGAAGGGGAGGAAAAACUGAAACAUGAGUUUGGGAGCGCAUUAGAGAAGACUCUGGCAGCUGUAUCACUGAUGGCAGGACUUGUAUGUAUUUGGUUUUGGCUCAGACAUGAAUUCUUACUUCUUUCCCCCAAGAAACUAAAAUCAGAUAGAAGAUUUAAAAUUGGAGCUUAGAAUGGUAUGUUUCUCCUGCUUUUAACAAUUCAUUUAAACAGAAAUAAACAAGGCCACUUGCUGGCUGCUGCUAGGUAGAAAGUCUCUAUACUUCAAAGAUUUUCAUAAAUGCAAGGAAUAUUCUUUGAUCUUGAAAACUUUUCUUUUUAUGUGAACAUUGGCACCAAACUAUCCUCUAGGUGUGAUGGCAGCUUGGGAGAGAACUUUUGUCAGCUUCCAAGAUUAUGGGAUUCGGCUAAACCAAAAGACUGGGACAUUGAAGGAUGAUUAUAAACUGCGGGUGCAGAUUUAUUGUGAAUAAUGGGAAAGCUGUGUAAAACAACACCUGAAGGGUGUCUAACUUGGUCAACAUGGACUUCAUAAUCUAUGCCCAAUUAAGUGCUAUCACUUUUUCUAGGCCCCACAGAGAAAUGUACAAACAUAUGAGACAUUCUUAUCUACAUUGGUCACGUGUAUGCAACUAUGCCUCUGUUAAAUUUGACUUUCACUAUUAGGGGAUCCAGGAAACAGUAUUGAGCACCAGUUGUCAUUUCAGUGAGCACAGGGGUGGGAUGAAAAUAGGAUCACACAUUUCCCCCUUGAGUGUCAUACGAAUAGUGGAGAGGAAAUCACAUGGAUACAGAAAUGGAGCUCGUGUUAAAAAUCUUAUAGCAGGAUAUACCAUGCUACAUCUCACAGCUUUAUAGAUGAUUCCUGGACUCUACCAGCCUGUUUCAAAUUGAAUGUCUCAUAUGAUUACUCUUACUUUGCGCUUGUAAAUCCUUUUAAUUGUAGUCCCAUUCUACCUCUAGCUGAGGGUAACAGCUAUCUCCCUUAGAGAGCUCUCUAGCUUCCAGCAGGGGCAUCUCACUGGCCAGAGGGGAAGGUAAAGCAUUGAUAUGGCACAAUAAGGGAACCUCCGGAUUUUUUUUUCCUUUUCUUUUUCUUUCUUUUUUUUUUUUUUUUUCGAGACAGUCUCCCUCUGUUGUGCGGUAGUGCGAUCUCGGCUCACUGCAAUUUCUGCCUCCCAGAUUCAAAGGGUUCUUCAGCCUCAGCCUCCUGAGUAGCUGAGAUUACAGGCAUGUGCCACCAUGCUUGGCUAAUAUUUGUAUUUUUAGUGGAGAUGGGGUUUAGCCAUGUUGGCCAGGCUGGUCUUGAACUCCUGACCUCAGGUGAUCCACCCGCCUUGGCCUCCCAAAGUGCUGGGAUUACAGGUGUGAGCCACCAUGCCCAGUGGAACCCCUGGAUUUCAAGGCGUGGGGGUAAUAUCUGGGCCUAGGGUAAGAUUCUGGUAAGUAUCUGGGCUUAGGGUUUAGUUUAUUAGCAUUGUCUAGGUCCCAAGCAAAUGCACGGAGUGGAGGAUUGAAAAGAGAGUAGCAGGGUAGAGCUGAGCAAAUCUCCCACUUGGGGUGGCUUCCCAGCUUAGUUAGGCCUCAUGUGGGGAGAAGCUCCAAAUAAUUCAUCAGACAGCUUGAGAGUCCCUGCAUGAAUUCCAGAGUUAAAUGAAAAUCCCAGCUACUCGGGAGGCUGAGGCAGGAGAAUCACUUGAACCCGGGAGGUGGAGGUUGUGGUGAGCCAAGAUCGCGCCAUUGCACUCCAGCCUGGCAAAAGAGUGAGACUCUGUCUCAAAAAAAAAAAAAAAAAAAGAACUGUGUGUGGCUAGUGGUUCAGACAUCUUCCUUCCUCUACCCCUAGGGACAAAGGGAAGGAUGCCUGCUAGACUUCCUUCAUAUUUCUAUUCACUUCUUUUUAGCAUUUGAUAUUACAAUUUAGCUUCUCUGUGUCUCAGAUUCCUCAAGCAAUAAUAUGGGUUUGAUGAACAAGGGUCAGAAGUUUCCUUUGGCUGUAGUGUUCAGUGAUCAUGGCGUUCUAGGGAGUGCAAAGAAGAGAAUAAGCAUCCAAUCCUCUAAGACCUUUACUCUAAUUAGGGAGUUUCAUUAAACCCCUGAAAAGCUUAAUAAAAAAAAAAACACCAAACAAAUGAAAACCAUAAGUACUUUUACAAGACAAGAUAAGCGCUGUUGCAAGACAGGAAUUAAUGGCCCCUGAUGUGGGCUUGGGUACCUACGAGAGUCUUUGUGGAGGUUGGAGGGGUUGGAUUGCAUAUUUUAGGAUGGCAGGGUUAGAGGGAACAGAAAAGACUACAUCUGUCUUGCUGACUGCUGGAUCUAACACAUGGUAGGGGCUUGUUAGGCAUCAUUGAAUGUAUCAGUACAGUAGAAUAUAACUGUUGAUACAGAUAUAUGUAUAGGUAAUGUUUACAGUUAUGUAGGGGACUAGUGGGGUAAGGUGCAGGAGAAAACAGGUUAAGACAAGAUUAAGCAAGAGUUUUUAUCAGUUAAUUGAUAUGUCCCAAAUGCCCAGAAUAGCAUCUGGCAUGUAGUGGGCAUUCAGUAAAUAUCUGUUGAGUUAAUGAAAUGAUUAAUGGCAUAAUUUGGGGCUGUCAUGUAAGUAGUAGGGGGAAGCAUGGAAGGUUUUUGAGAAAGUACCAUUUAGGAAAGGUCCAUGGCAGCCAUGUGGACAAGCCGAUUGUAAAUGGAGGAAUAAAGAAGCAAAUUAAGAGAUUAUGUCAUAAAGUGGGCACAGGGUCAUGAGGAGCGUCUGAAAUAGAUGAGUGGCAUUGGAAACAAGAAGGACGGGCAGGAUGGAGACAUCACAAAAACAGACUUCCUGAAUGGUUAUAGUAGGUGUCAAGGGAAGGUUGAGUCAGAAGAUGCCUGCAGUCUGAGGUGCUAAGGAGUCCAGAUAAGUUGGAAAAUGAUCAUAUGAUUGGCAUAGAGGAAACAAAGUAGGGUUUUGUUGGAGGGGAGGGGCAGCGGGUAUUAAUGAUUAGUUUUAGAUACUUAGAUAUGAUAUAAGGGCAAAUCAUCUCCAUUAGGCACUUACUUGCAAGCCAAAAAAAAGGUUGAAAUUCAGGAGCGUCCUCCCAGGGCUGGAGAUCAGGUUUGUGAGUGAUGGUCUGCAGGUUGCCAUGGGAAGCAGGAGCUUCUUGAGGGUGGGAGUGGGUAGGGAGACUGGGGGCUGCCUGGGGAGCAGCAUGGCCACUGCCUCUUGGUUCACAGAGCUGUUGGCUUCCAGUUCAACUGUUUCUUUUAACAGCACAGAGGUCUUAGGAGCCAUACUUUGUUCAUGUCUAGGGAGCUUUCAUUCCAAGGGAUUCUCCCUGCUCUCUUCCCCAGCAUUGCCUUUAUUUAUUAUGUAGGGGCAUUUUAUUGUCAUAGCUAUUUAUCUGGUAAGAUAUCUGCUGUGUGAAAGUUUUAUAAUUUGUGUCUAAUGAAUGAGCAUCCUCUGCAGGAACAGAUCCCUCUGCUGUUUUUGGAGGAUAUGCUGCUCAUGACUCUGUGUGUGUGUGUGUGUGUGUGUUGUGUGUGUGUGUGUGUGUGUGUAAAACUCUUAGAAAUAGAUCUCCAACAACUAAUCUUACAACCUCAAAUGACAGAGUAAUGUGUACAUUAUGGAUUGAAUAAAAACUUGAAGAAUGUUAAUAUGGAAAAUUAGAAUUAGUAAUGAAAUACAAAGUCAUUUGCCAUAGAAUACUGUAGCUUUCACAUUUUUACUUUAAAAAUUCCAGUUUACGAGAAAUUUUCAAAUAGAAAUAAUUGGGAACGUUAGAUCCUUGUUAAAAAAUACUCUUUUUUUUUCUUUUGAGACAGAGUCUCACUUUGUUGCCCUGGUGCAAUCUUGGCCCACUGCAACCUCUGCCUCUCGGGUUCAAGUGAUUCUCCUGUCUCAGCCUCCUGAGUAGCUGGGACUACAGGCACCCACCACCACACCCGGCUAAUUUUUGUAUUUUUAGUAGAGGCGGGGCUUCACCAUAUUGGCCAGGCUGGUCUUGAACUCCUGACCUUGUGAUCCACCCGCCUCGGCCUCCCAAAGUGCUGGCAUUACAGGUGUGAGCCACCACGCCUGGCCAGAAACAUUCUUUUUGUGCUCCUCUUGGCAGCACAUAUGCAAAACCAGGAAAGACACAGAGAAGAUUAGCAUGGCCCUUAUGCAAGGAUGACACACACAUUUAUGAAGCAUUUUAUAUUUUUAUCCUUAUGAAACACUCAAAGAAACGUCAUUUACCACUUUUCCAGCUGCGGUGGACCAGACAUUUUCAGAUUUGCCUGUUUUCCCUGUCCUAUUUUUGUUGUAAUUUUUUUUUAAUACCGCACUUACUGGUGUUCAUAUAAAAUAAACUUGAGUAAACCAGAAUUCUGUGAGUUUUGCCAGACUUUAAUUGUGUUGUAUUGCUUGCUUUUUAAACAAAUUAAUAGUGAAAAAUAAUUUAGCGACCUCCCAGUUGUAAACUUCUAAAUAGCAGUUUGUGUCUGUAUAUCUCUUCAAGUCAAGCAUCUGCUCAAAAGAUAUUGUUGAUGAUGUGAUAAAUGCAGUUUCAUGAAACUUGGCAGUUCCCAUAAAUAAUUGAAUAACAUAGGUUGUAUUUACCUCUGUAGUGUCUAGACUAGAGAAUUAGAAUCACGAGUUUAUAAAAAUCUAGGUUGCUGUCUACACACAAAUAGAAUAGUAUUUAAAAUUGUGUUUUCCAUGGGAUAAUGAUGAAAUUUUUAUUGGGCCAAGUGGGUAGCUAUCUGGAGAAAGGUGAGGUUGGUUUCAUAUCUCAUACCAUUCAGAUAAACUCCAACCUGAUCAAUUAAUUUUAUAUGAUGACCAGUGUCAUAUUCAACAGAGUUAUGACAAAGAAAGAAAGGAAGGAGAAAUCAGAAAGGCAAUUCAGCAAAUGUCUAGUCUACCUCAGUUGGAAAAAAGUGAAAAAUGAUAUUUUUAAGAAGGAUUUCAAUAUACAAAUAUAUAUUUGUAUCUGCAUAAAAUGCUGAGAAACUGGAAGACAUUCCUUUAUAACCUUGAAGUAAGAAGGACUUUUUAACUGUGACUCAGAAUCCAGCAGCCAUUAAAAAAAAUGAUAAAUUUGACUAAAUUCAAAUAAAGUAUUUUUACCUGAUUAAAAAAAUGCCAUAAGCAAAUUCAAAUGACAAUCAGAGAAGAAACUAUUUGCAGUGGACAGUUAACCUCCAUAUAAAGAGUUUCUACAAAUGAAUAAGAAAAUGACUUUCUUAUUCAUUGAAGGCCAAGGCAGGUGGAUCAUCUGAGGUCAGGAUUCGAGACCAGUCUGGACAACAUGGUGAAACCCUGUCUCUACUAAAAAUGCAAAAAUUAGCUGGGUGUGGUGGUGCAUGUCUGUAAUCCCAGCUACUUGGGAGGCUGAGGCAGGAGAAUCGCUUGAACCUGGGAGGCGGAGGUUGCAGUGAGCUGAGAUCACGCCACUGCAUUCCAGCUUGGGCAACAGAGCGAGACUCUGUCUCAAAAGAAAAAAGAAAAAGAAAAUGACUUGUAAUACCAAUAGCCUAGGCAAAGGAUAUGAACAGAUUAUCCUCAGAAUAAGAAAAACAUUGUCUUGGCCGGGUGCGGUGUUUCACGCCUGUAAUCCCAGCACUUUGGGAGGCUGAGGCAGGUGGAUCACGAGGUCAGGAGUUCGAAUUCGAGACCAGCCUGGCCAACAUGGUGAAACCCUGUCUCUACUAAAGAUACAAAAAAUUAGCUGGGCGUAGUGGCACGUGCCUGUAUCCCAGCUACUCAGAGGCUGAGGCAGGAGAAUUGCUUGAACCGGGGAGGUGGAGGUUGCAGUGAGCCAAGAUCGCACCAUUGCACUCCAGCCUGGGUGAAAGGGCGAGACUCUGUCUCAGAAAAAAAGAGAGAGAGAAAGAAAUACAUUGUUUUCAAACCUACCAAAAGAUCUUCAGCCUUACACAUAAUAAGAGAAUCACAAACUUAAACUGUGCUGAAGUAGCACUUUUAACUUUAUCAGAUUGGCAAAAAUUCUACAGUGUGACACUUAGAAAUUGUUGACCAGUUGUGGAAACAUCAGCACUGUACUUCUGAGAGUACAGAAUGGCAUAACCCUCAUGAAGGCCAGUUCGGCCAGUUUUCAUCUAUCGAGAUUACAAAUACAAUUACCCUUUGACCCAGCAGUCUGGCUCUGGCAAUUACUCCUGCAGAUACAUCUGAAUACAUAUGCGGUGACCUAUAGAGUAGGUGUCUCAUUAGACCAUUGUUUAUAAUAGAAAAGACUGGAAGCAAUUCAAGUAUCCACUGGUGAAAGACUGGUUAAAUAAACUAUGAUCCACCUUUACAAUGGAAUAUUGUGCAGCAUUUUAAAGAGAGCAUGGAAACUCUUCAUACGUUGAUAUGGAAAGACCUCCAAGAUAUGUUAUUAAAUGGAAAAAAAAACCCACCAAAGUAUAGAACCAUAUAUAGUAUGCUCCCUUUGAUGUAGAAAGGAGACAAAAUAUGAGUCUAUAGUCAUAUCUGCUUGAAUCCACAUGAAGAAACAUUGAAAGGAUAAACAAAAGGAGUUCAAUAAAAGUGGUUACUUUUAGUGGGUGGGUGGGGGAUAGCAUGGAUAAGGAUGUGUGAGCAGGAAGAGGCAGGGGGCAAUACUCUUCAUUGUGUACUCUGUUGUAUUAUUUUUAUAUUUGAAGCCUGUAAAGUAUUACCUAUUCAAAACAAAAAAUAAGUUACAUGUCUUUACAGUUGUAUUUCAGUGCCAAUUCAACAUAUGUCCAAGGGCCAGAAAUACCUUCCCAGAGCUUUUAUCAUUUCUUGUUGGUACUGUUGCCUACAGCCUCCUAAGUGGGUCUUGUAUUAGCUGUAGUGGUUUAUCUACAGUUGUGCUGUCCGUUGUGGUAGUCACUGGCCACAUCUGGCUUUUGAGCACUUGAAAUGUGGCUAGUCUAAAUUGAGAUGUGCUGCACUGUGCCUGAUUUAGAAGACUUAGUAUGAAAAAAAGAAUGUAAGCUAUCUCAUUUAUAAUUUUAAAACUCUUGAUUACAUGGUGAAAGAUAGUAGUUUGUGUUUGAGGGGUUAAACCAUAUUAUUAAAUUAAUUUCACUUGUCUUUUCUUACCUUAAAUGUGGCUGCUAGGAAAUUUAAAAUUACAUAUGUGGCUUGGCCCUGUGGUUGGCAUUUUACUUCUUUUGUGCAGCCCUGAUGUAGCCUUCUAUCCACAGUCAGCAUGUCUGCCAGAAUUACUUAAAAACAACAACAGAACCUACAUGUGUCAUUUCACUGCUUUAAAACCUCUCGCCUCCUACAUGCCUAAAGAGACCCUUUGUAAAUAGUCUCUGAGAUCCUUCCUUUACCCAUUCCCCACUUCCCUGCACAUACAAACGCUGCUUCUCUUUACUCCCUGGACUGCAGGCCUCUUGAUAAAUUUGAGUCUCUGAACACACUGUUCUUUCUGUUUGGAAUGUCCUUUCGCCCCCAUUUUGUUGCCCAGAAAAUUCCUACUCAUCUAUAAGCCCCGUUCACGUGGCCCCUUUUUUGAUGAGGCAUCCCUAGUUCCCCUGUCCCAUUUUCUUAUAGCAGCUAGUAGACCUCUAUGUUCUCACACUCAUCCUCAGUACCACGGUUGUCCCCUGAAAGGUGUUGUCUCCCUCACCAGACUGGGAGCACCUCAAGGGCAGAACCCAUGUCAUGUUCCUUUUUGUAUUUCCAGACCUGAAACUGCCAGUAAAUAAACCCUAAAAGUAGAAAGAAAAAAAAAAACCUAAAAAGAAGUUGGUUGUAUUUGGUUGAGAGUACACCAUGCCCGGUUUGCCUUGAUGAUGCUUCUAUGUCUAAUCUGUAUAUUGAGGAAAGCAGGCUGCAACCUGUCAGCCUUCCUUGAUUAAGAAUAGGCCUCUUUGGAGUGUUCUAGCUUUGAACAAGCCAGCCUCCCUGCAAGCAGAAGAUUACAAACUGCAGAGAUGUCAGUAGCACCAAACCCGCAGUGAGUUCUAGUUUUCAGGGCUGUGUUCAGACUGGAAGAUGGGAAUUAUCUGUGUUCUGUUCAGAGAGCAGAAUUCUCCAGGCUGGCCAGGUGCCUGCGUUUGCAGAAGAUAAAGGUAGCAGGUGGUUGCCAGAAGGUGAAAGCAUCAGUGGAGCAUGGCCAGCUCCAAGGAGGCGGUGAGCUGGAAUAAUGAAGUUCUCCACAGUCUGGUCUGUGGGAUCUUACUUCGGUUACCAACUCCGUGGAAAGUUAUUCUUGCUUGUUAAUAUUCCCAUUGUCCUUCUCUUCUGUUGCGUUAAGCUUUUGUUCUAAAGAGAAAUGAAGAAUAAUAAACAAUACCCAAACUAUGUGGAGUAAAGAUUUUUGGAAGGAAAAAUUAGAAUUUUGCAAGAAACUUCUCUCUUUAGCAAAGUAAACUGAAAGGGCCUGUGUUUACCCUCCAAGAUUUUAGAAGCAUUAUUGCCAUUGUUCAGAAUCUACUAAUUUCAUAUAUAGAGAUCCGGAUAUUUUCAUCAGGUAAAGCUUCCUGUGCAGCUCUCAUAAUCAGCUGGUUGAGGAGCUCUUUCUUUAGCAAAAUUUUGAGAGCUAGUAGUGUAGUAGAAAGUACAGUACCUGCAGUGGCUAGAAAAACCAGUCUGAACCUAGGACUGUCACUACCUAGUGGUGUGGACUUUGCAAGCUACUUCACAUCUUUAAGCCCUCAUUAUUGAGUAAAAUGAGGCUUAAACACAUCCUAAGUUAUAGGCAUUACAAGAGGUGAAUGAAUGCAGGGGCCUAGCACUGUGCCUGGUCCAUAGUAGGUUUUGGUAAAUAGGAGUUAUAGCUCCGAUAUGAAUACACAUUUUCUUUUGCAGGUAUCUGGUGUUGAAUAACCAGGUGAGAAUGCCCAAGGUCAGAGAGGAGUAUGUCCUUUCAUAGUGGGCAGACUGUGGUGAGUGAGUGCUCCUCAGCAGCAGGUUAGUUCUUCAGAGCCUCACCACCAGCCCAGGGAGAGAGGACAGGAGCAGCUGGGUAAAGGAGUCAGGACACGUGGGUUGGAGAACUGGCUUUGCCAUUAGUUAGUCCCAUGAGGAUUCACUCUGCCUCCUUGGUCCUGUUUGUAAAACGAGGCUGGUGAUCAUUUCCAUCUCUAAAUACUAUAGUCUGUCGCCAUAAAGCAACAGAAUUGGGCCCCCAGAAGUUACACUGCCUUGUUUGUAGGAUACCGAUUCACCAGGCCGGACUCUGAGAACGAACCUGGAUGUUGCACAACAAGGCUGUGUCAUCUCCGAAUGCCCUGAACUGGAGGCGGGUUCCCAUUUCCCCUUCGAGAUUAUGUCCAGAGGCGCAGGUCAUCUUUCCAGGCUCCAUUCCCCUUGUUCUGCUUUCAUAUUCUCCUGAGCUCGACCUGGUUCAAUUUCUCCCUGGAGAGGCUCACUAUUUUUUCUGGGGUUGAGAUCUGAUCCUCGUCAUUCUUUUGACAAGAGAUACAGAAUCAUCAUUUUUAAGAGGAAGUUUAUCAGCAGGCUGUUUUUAAAAGUGAGUUUUGUGCUUGAUACAAAUUUGUAUGAUGUUUGCUUUCUCUUAAGCACUCGAGGUCUGUACAGUCAGCCUUCUUUGCCUCAUUUGCUCCCCUUCCUCCCCUGCCUCCCAUCUUAUUUGACUGCUAACCUGGGCAGGCCCACCAUUCAUUCUUGUUUGAGACAGAUGAACACAGUACUUUGUAUGCCUUAUGACCAGAUAAUUCAAGCUGACAGUAAUCAAGUUUGGGGCUAAUUAUCAUUAAAAGGUAAUUUCAUUGCUGCCCGUAAUUGAUCUUAUCUUAAACCAAUUGUAGCAUUUCUUUUGUCACAUGAUUUAAAAAUUUAAAAAAAAAAUGCUUUUGGCAAUAAACUUUUGAAAACAGAUUUUCUACACUCAGUUCUUUUUAAAACCAACUUUACAAACUUUAAAUGUGCUCUUAUUAAUGUGGUGAUAUGUCUGCUUUGUAAUAUUGCAUAUUCAAAAUAAAAAGAAAAUGGAGACAGUUCAUCACUGAAAUGGAUGUUACAAAAUCAGCAUCUGGUUUGAAUAAUGAGUCUUCUGGUCCAAGUUUUGCUUCAGUGAAUGAAACUAAUGAAACUGGCCUCCAUUGUUAUGUCAGUGACUUCACCUCCACUAACUUUUGGUUUCUUUCCGUUGCCAAUUUGGAGGCCACUAAGGUUUCUUCAGAAAGUUCUUUCCUAGUGGUAUUUGUUCUAAGUAACUCUGGGACAGCCAAGUAUCUGUCACCAGCAGGGGAGAGGCAAAGACACCUCAUGAUCAUAAAAUCAUAGGUAUGGGACGUUUCAAGUAUCCUUUGCCACCAGUCAAGCUCUGGAAACAAGAGCAAAGUGAAAAAACAGCUCUAGAGUUGGAACGAUUAAAAAUUAGAUGUUGGUACAGCACCAUAAUACUACACAAUUCUAGGUCAGGCAUAUAGACAGCUGUCCCAAGUCUUGUUUCUUCCUUGAACUCUGAUGCUUGCAGAAAUAUGGUUGUACCUGGGAAAUGAUCACCCUGGCUGCAAGGCACAGAGCCACCCUACUUCUCCUGCUGGUAACACACACACACAUGCACAUGCAUGCAUGCUGCAUGCACACACACACCCCUGGGACGUCUCCUGAAGGUAAAUACACUGUUGUUGUUAUUAGGUUUUCUGAUCCAUAGGUAUCUAUGCUAAUAAUAAGUAACAAUAUCCUCUAAUACUUACAGAGCACUUUUUGAUUCAUCAUUUGAUUUGGCCUUCAGAAAACCACUUGAAGAUGAAUAGCAUAGAUUUUAUUAUCCGCCUUUUACUGAGGAACCUCCUCAAAGAAGCAUUGUGACUUAUUCAAAGACAUAGCUAUCAUGUGAUAGAAAGUGAUGAUAUUUUAUAAAGGCCUAGUUUUAUAUUUUACCAUAAAACUGAAGGAAAAUCCUUUAUUGCAUGUUCUUCCUCAAUAAAAAGCUCACCAAAUGAAUUAACAAACAAACACAUAAAUAAAAUGUAACAAAACCCUAAUAAAUAAAACAGAACCCUAAAGAGAAAUGUCUUCAGUGGUCAGAAAGUAGAAACAUGGAAGCAAAUGAAUAUUUUCUGUUUGUUACUUCUGUGCCUAUAACCAGAUGUGGCAAGGAUGCAGGCAAGCCUACGGUAGAUUUGCAAUAAGUAUUUAUUGAACUUAACUGGAUUAGCAUUACUUUGCUAAGUAGGAAAACAACAGACUAUCCCUUUAUCUAUGAAUACUUUGAUACUCGGGUUGUAUCAAGCAUAAAAUAGACCAAGAUUUUCUAUGAAUUCCUUACUUUUCUUCAGCCAGAUCUAGUUGUCUGCUGUAGCAGAGUCCUCAGAAAACUCUAAGCCAGAAAAUCAGGGUCAUUUGUCCAUCUUGUUGACCAGAUUGCAAGCAUUUUCCCCCACCCUAGUUUUUAAUUUUAAAUGUAUUAGCAGUGGUAGUUUUUACUGCUAUCUUUACAAAAAUAAGAGGCGAACAAAACUUUUGGAUGGAAUUAGAAGUCCCUCCCAGGCAAGGCUCCCGGGUUGCGAGUGUGAUUUUAGGUGACUGAGAUAUCAUGCUACCCUGUGGCCAGCCAUGUGGGCACAUCACCACGUCUUAGUCUUCAGGACACUGAGGCAGAAAGCACCGUCCCAUUCACACCUUGGUAACUGAACUCUAACAUCUCAGCCUGAGAAUCCUAGAUUUUUUGCUUAUUUGUUUUUAAACUAACCUUUUCUUUUCUUUUCUUUCUUUCUCUCUCUCUCUUUUUUCUUUUUUUGAUGGAGUCUCACUCUGUCGCCCAGGCUGGAGUGCAAUGGCGUGAUCUCCGCUCACUACAACCUCUGCCUCCCAGGUUCAAGUGAUUCUCCUCCCGCAGCCUCCCAAGUAACUGAGAUUACAGGCACACACCACCACACCCAGCUAAUUUUUGUAUUUUUAUCAGAAAUGGGGUUUCACUGUGUUGGCCAGGCUGGUCUCGAACUCCUGACCUCAGGUGAUCUGCCCACCUUGGCCUCCCAAAGUGCUGGGAUUACAGGUGUGAGCCACCAUGCCCGGCCUAAACUUUCUAAUUAUAAUUCUUUUCAGUUGAUUCUUUUCCUCUUGACCAGUCUUCUUUUAAAAUUUUAACUCUUCAGGAGUCAAAUGAAUGUUUUCCUUUUUAUUGAUAAAUGUGUGUGACGUGCAACUGUUCCUUAAAAAAAUAUCUAGUGUAGUUUGUAAUGUAACCUUUGCAGCUUCAUUCUGAGUUCUUUUGUGACAACUUCUCGUUGGAUACUACUACUCUUUUAAGUUCACUUAGGCUGUUUAGGAUUCAAGUCUUCAUAUGCCCAUCUCUUUUGGCUUGGCUGAUUCUCUCUUCAGUUGUUGGCCUUGUUUGGCCUUCGGGAGAUGAGGCAAGGUGAGUGCCCUCCAUCCCCACAGUCUCUCAUGGCUAAUACUGAACAGGGGUUGGCAGAGUGGGUGAUGGAAGGACCAUUAUUUAGCAGCCUGUUGACAGAGUUCGUCCCAGUUCAGCCAUUCACUAGCUCUAUUAUCUAGGACUAGUUAAUUUGUACAAACCUUAGUUUCCUUGUGUGUAAAAUGAGUUAAGUAAUAGCCAUUUCACAGUGUUGAGGAUGGAUUGAGAUGGUAUAAUUGGAAGUGCUUUACAGUAUUCAGUGCUAUUGUUAUUACAGAUGUUUUUUUCCUGGGCAGGUGGUUGAUAUACCUUGAGAGAGCGUUUAUGGGUUAUCAGAUGAAAUAUGUAGGCAUGUGGCGUAUCGGUUACCUGAAUAAGGAAAAGGAUAGGCCAGUUUUUAAAUUAUUAUUUUUUUAAAUUUCAAUUUUAUUUUUCCCCGCUUUAUUGAGGUAUCACUGAUGAAUUUAAAGUGAAUAUAUUUACCAUAUGCAACGUGAUGUUUUGAUAUAUGUCGACAUUGUGGAAUGAUUACCAGAAACCAGCUAAUUAACUGACCCAUCACCUCACAUAGUUACCUUUGUGUGUGUGGUGAAAACAUUGAAGACCAGCCCUCUCACCAGCUUUCAGGUAUAUAAAACAGUAUUGUUAACGAUAGUUACUGUGCUGUUAAUUACAUCCCCAGAAGUAUUCAUCUUAUAACUGGAAGUUUAUAUCCUUUAGCUAAUGGCUUCCUAUUCCUCCUCCAGCCAUCCACCCCCAGACCCUGGCAACCACCAUUCUAAUUCUACCCUCUGUUUCUAUGAGUUCGACUUUCUUAGUUCCCACAUAUAAGUGAGAUCAUACAGUACUUGUCUUUCUGUGUCUGACUUUUUCAUUUAGAGUAAUGCCCUCAAGAUUCAUUCAUGUUAUUGCAAAUGGCAAAGUUUCCUUUUUUUAUGACUGAAUAAUUUCCAUUGUGUUUGAAUACCACAAUUUUUAAAAUCUGUUUAUCCAUCGAUGGACACUUAGGUUGUUUCCAUGGCUUAGCUAUUGAGAAUAAUGCGUCAGUGAACACGGGAGUGCAGGUAUCUCUUUGAGAUACUGAUUUUUUGUUCUUUGGGCAUCUAUCCAGAAGUGGGGUUGCUGGAUCACACAGUAGUUCUGUUUUUAAUAUUUUGAGGCACCUUCGUACUGUUUUUUCCAUAGUGGCUAUACCAGUUUACAUUCCUGCCAGCAGUGCACAAGGGUUUCAUUUUCUCCACAGAGGACAGGCCCUCCUUGAUCAGGCUGCCUCAUGGGAUGAUCAGAUCCAUAAGAAACUGAGCAAGUGAAUGUUAGAGGAGCAGAGAGAACUGGCAGGGAAGAGUAAAGACAACAUGAGUUGUUUUGAUUAUAGAGAGACAAGCUUGGAAACCAAGGGCAGGGGCUAUCCUGCCACCAAAAUGUAAUAAUAAGAGCACCAUGACGAGGCUCCUCAUUUGAAACUAGGAUGCCAGUGACCUUGGGGACUGAAUGAAUUUGGCAUUGCUGGAAAGGUAAGCAUGAAGAGAGGUUGGAAGGUUAAUCCAAUCGGGGCAUUAACUGGACCUGGAUAUGACUGUCUGGGCUAGGAAAAAGUAAUGCCAAGUCCAGUGCCUGGCAGAGCAAGGGCUGAGGAAAUACUUGUUGAGUGAAUCAGUGGGUACAAUAAAGAUAGUGCAGAGAAGCAGUUGCAGAAUUGAGGUUGUAUUGUCACACUGCCAUCUGGAAAAGCCUGUUCUCUGAAGAAGAGAGUUACUGCAUCCCACCCCCCAGGUCUGAUCAGUGGGCGUCUGGGACCUGGGAGCUCAUUGUUUUAGCCCUGAUGGAGCAAAUGCCUUCUGAGCUCAGGGAAGUGAGGCGUGCCUGGGUGUGGUGCUGGAUCUAAGCCUUUACGCUUAUGUCUCUGGUUUCAUUUGUAGGCCACCAUUUAUUUUACUUUUAAUAAGUCAUCUCUGUGAAAAUGCUUUAGGUCCAUCGUAGGGUCUGUAAAGUGGAACUCCGUAUGCAUUCUCUGGCAGUAAACUACAUUAGAUAUGUGUGUCUAACAACGGAAGUGGUGUCUCUGUGUAUUCUUUCCUUUGAACCACUAUUGAAUGGCAUUUUGUUCUGAUAAUGUUGUAACCUGUGAGGUCCUUAUGUCCUCAUUUUGUGUAUGUGCCUUGGGUUGACUACGUUCACUUAAUUUUGCCUUGUUUCUGUUGGUCUGCCAUGGUGGCCUCUGGCUUAGAUAGCUACAGUGUAAUUUUUGGCUUGAGAAGUUGAAGCCCAUGGAGACACUAGAUUCCUAUAUUCCUGGCUGUUUCAUGCUGUAUGUCAUGAAACACAUCUCCAGUUUAGGUUUCAUCAAUUUGGAGGGAGAAGCUCAGUGAGUACAGGUACUGAGAACAUUCUCAGUGCCCCAAAGCACUUUAGUAAAGUACAUCUGAUACCAAGGUGUUCCUGGUUGUAUUCUCCACAGGUGACUUGCCUCAGCUACUAUAUGGGCUCACAUUUCUGUAGUAGGUCAUGGUUUUUGAAAUACACAAAAGUGCUUCAAGAGACUGGUUGUAAAACUCUGCCCAUGAUGAGAAAUACCUUCAAGAUACUUCACUCACUAAGUGCUGGAAACGUACUCUAGUGGGAUGUUUGUGGAUUGGUUGGUGUUUGAGGGACAAAUAUAAAGCACACCUGUAAAACUGGGAGAAUCAGGUGGCAGAUUAAUUCGAUGUUGGCAGCUUGAGUCAUCAAAAUUUAGAUGCUUCUGCUGCAAUUAGGAAUUUGUAGUCACUUUGUUUCCUCUUCCAGAAAUAAAGAACCGAGGUAUAAUUUACAUAAUUUUCCUGAACUCAAAAUCUGUGAGGAACCAAGGCAGUCCUGUAACUAACUCUCAGAUUCCUCCAGUUCCAGCCUUGUGCUAGCCCACUAGACCAUGGGGCCUGCAUGGAAGAUGAAAGUGUAAAAGUCUGAACCUGUGUUUCCUAAGUCAGUGGAAUGCUGUGUCUCUUGCUUAUAUAUAUAGUACAGUAUUUCAUAUCGGGGUGCAUGGUGCUCACAGCUGAAAGGAGUAUUUAUAUGCAGCCUUCAGAGGUAUGCUUGGUAUGAAAACCGUAAGUGAUCUGCCUCACUGGUUUGUUUAAAAUUCUCAAGCAUAUUGCUAUCCUAACAUAGCUUUUAUUCACUGCAUCUCCUUUGCAGUGGAGGGAAAUGACCAUAUGGUGAAUGAAAAAUAUACUGGACUUGAUCCCCAUAGCAAGAAAGGCCUAUAAUGUUUAUGUUAGAAGGUGAUCCUGUGUUUCUUCUGCUUGGCAGAAGGCUUGGAUGUAUAAUGAGGUAUUAACACGUGUCAGAUCCUGUGUCUCCCUAGAACUCGGUGUUGUCUUGUAACACUUGAGUUCUAUUUAUUGAAAUGAUGACAUGUGGUAAUUGGGACGUUGCUGCUCAGCAAGCCAGGUGCAUGUCUGCGUCAGAGGUUGUUGGGAGAGUGGCUGUUGGAACAUUAACUCCAGAUUUCCUGACUUGUGUGUGAUGAAAAUAUCAACCCCAAUGUGGAGUUAAACCAAUACCAAAAGCAAGUGAAAAGAAAAACCAUUGCUCUUCGGAAGGAAAAAUGCCACAUCAACAAUACUAGGGGAUUUAUUUGUAAUCCUUUGGUCUGAUAUGGAUUCAUUUAUUUUCUCUAGUUUUACUAUCAUAAAUAAAGCAUUUUAAACGCUGAAAUAACCUGUAAGACAGCAUUCACAGUGAAGGUUAUUCUUGUUACCUACUGAAAACCUCCACGUGUGCUUGGAUUGGAUCCUAGCAGAACCGAUCGUGAGCUUGCCAGUGUGUCAUCCUUAAAACAGUUUCCCAUGCUACCUCAUUUUUCUUGGGAAUAUGUUGUUACUCCUGGAAGAGAGUCCAAAUGCAAAAUAGCUUUUUGUUUGUUUGGUUUACUUUUAAUGAAGAAAGAAGCCACGGUUGAUGAGGAUGAGAUGCUGUGUGCUCAUCGAGUCACUUUGAUAAAGUGAGAAAUGAAAGCUUUUUCUGUAGCCGCUUGUAUAAUUCUUUCUGGUAGACUCUUCCUCUUGCGUCUGUGGUAACACAGACUCAAUGCAAUGAGGUGGGAGGAGCAAGUCAAGCUUGGUAUGUUGCUGACAGGCAAAAUCUUACAAUUAAGCUGAUUAAGUCUUAAAUCGGUCAGUUUCCCACUUUGAUAUUAGGGUAUUUAACAGGAUAUAAUUUUAUAAGUUGCUUCUUUCUAAAGGAGCCUUAGGGUGUGACGAAGGAAAUCCUUUUGUCAAACUAAAAGGUGAACUCAGUGCAACUGCCUUCCUAUCAACUCUGCGCAUUCCUGAAAUAGGGCAGGCGUUGCUGCUGGGCUCAGGUGUCCCAAGGUGCAGUUUUAUCCACUCGAAAACCGUUAUGUGUUCAGCUCAAUUAGAUUAAUUACCUUCCUCACCAGGAUUCACAAUGCUUUGCAGUUUAUCUGCGGUAACUAAAUGUUAGUUUUGUAAGUAAAAGGUACUGUUAUUGACCUCGAAAGGGCUAUAGUUCCUUUGAACUUACAGAGAAGAGUUCCAAACAACUAUUUCUAACCAAGAUGGAAUAUGGGUCAGCAAAAUUGUCUUCAGGUAGAGUUUUCUACUUGCCAAGAGACUUUGGCAUUUAGAGGAGAGUUCUUGUUUGUUUUUUUAACUCUGUAUCAUUUCUGUUUGGUGUCUCUAAAAAAAAAUCUGGGCAUGUCAUAACCUAACAUGCAGUUUUCUGUAUCUCCUAGAGUUACUAGCAUAUUUUAAAUACUCUUGGUUUCCAGAUGAAGAUCUCUGAGCUGAACCCAAGCUAUUGUCUAUUGAGAGGUCACACAGAAAUCCACCUCGGGUGAGACAUGGUUGUUUCAUGAGGGCUAAGCAAAAGUCAAGGGCAGAGUCUUCUACCCUGAGCUGCCUCAGGUUAAGUGGUAUACUAUUUCUGAUGCACAGUAAAGAAAGAAUAGGCACUGUUUGCACUCUUCGGUGAUGACGUUUAAUCUUUUAAUCUCCCCUUAUUCUUCCCCAUGGGAAGACAAAAAUGGGAAGAUUCAGAUAAUUAUUUAUAGGGUUGGACAUUGAGUGGGUCUGCGAACCUAAUACUUUCCAGAAUCCUAGUGUUGUAGGAAUUCUCAGUUACCAACCUUGGUACUGAAAUAAGUAAAGUAGGAGGGAGGUGGGGAAUCACAGGUCAAGCAUGAAUAAGGCCACAUCUGGCAGAACUGGGACAUAUCUUCAAUACAACAGUGAUAAUAGUAACACUAUCCACAUGUUUAUCUAAGUGACAAAUUAUUAAGUAGUUACAUUUACAUUCCUUAUUUUGUGGGCUUCUUAUGUAACUCAGACAUGUAAGGGCAGGUUGUUAAAUCCUAUUUGUUUAUUCAGUAAAUAUUUAUUGAGUGCCUAGUAUUUGCCAGGCUCUGUCCUAGGUACAAAGGAUACAAUUGGGAACAAAACAAUAAAGAAAUCCUGUUUUUGUGGAAUUUAUGUGUUAGCUGUAGGGAGACAGACCACAAAUAAAUGAAGUGAGUGAAACAAAAGUUAUGUUGGGAAAUGAAACUGCCAUGGAGAAAAGUAAGAUAAGGAAAGUGGAGAGGGGGAGUGUGGGGUUGUCACAGUACUACCUAGGGUGGCCGGGGAGUCGCCCCAGGGAGAAGACAUUUGAGUAAUGACCUGCGGGAAGUGGGAAGGUGGCCAGCUGGGAGAACAGCAUUCCAAGUAGACGGAACAGCUCGGACUGGGGCCCUGAGGUGGGAGCCUGCCCGGUGUGCUGGAGGAACUGCAGGGAGGCCAGUGGGGCUGGAGUGAGUGAGAAAGAGGGCAGGGGGAGAUAAGGUCGUGGUGGGCACCCACGUAGGCCAGUUUGCGCUUGAGGCAUUUACUCUCUGGGAGAUGGGGAGCCAGUGGCCCUUGAGAAGAGGAGGACAGGAUGGAUGAAUGGGUACUUUAAUAGUGUGACUCUGGCUGCAGUGUCUCGAGUAGACUGGAGGGGACAAGGGUGGAAGCAGGGAGACUGAUUAAGAGGGGAUUGCAAUAGUCCAGUAACAAGAUAACCAGUGGUCCUGGUCCAGGUGGUAGUUGUGAAGGUGGUGGGAAGUGGUAGAGUUCUGGGUAGAUUUUAGAGAUAAGGUCAACAGGUUUGGUUUAGGUAUGAGAGAAAGAAAGAAACCAAGGAUGACUCCAGAGUGGUUGACCUGAACAACUGGAAGGAUUUGGUUGGCAUUCACUAAGAUGAGGGUGACUGGCUGGAGGAAGUUUUGGAGGAAGAUGGAAAUCAGGAUCUCUGAUUUGGCCAGGUUAAGUUUGCGAUGCCUAUUGGAUGCCAAAUGAUAAUCUUCAGUGGGCAAUUAAAAAAAUAUAUUUUAGAGAUGGAUCUCGCUCUGCUUCCCAUGCUGGAGUGCAGUGGCUUUUCAGAGGCGCAAUCAUAGUACACUACAGCCUCAAACCCCUGGCAUCAAGCGAUCCUCCCACCUCAGCCACCUAAGUAGCCAGAACUGUAGGUGAAUACCACCAUGCCCAGCAUCCAGUGGGCAAUUUUUGAUAUUCACUUCUGGAGUUCAGGAGAGAGGUCAGGACUGAAGAUAGGCAUUUGGGAAUGGUGGGCAUUAAAACAAUAGACUGGAUGAGAUCCGGGAACCAGUAAAGGAGACCAAGAAGGAGGGACCACCGAGGUGGAAGGAAAAGCCAGGAGGGAGUGACCUGGAAGCCAAGGCAGAGUGUUCCAAAGAGAAGGGACUGGUCAUCCCUAGCAAGUGUUGCCACUGGGGCAAAAAUGGUUACAUCAAUUGGUCAUAAGCUGAGGCCCAAGAUGGGUGACUCACCAAGGGCUGUGGCUGGGGAAAAGCUGGGUUAGGGCUCAAGGUCAAGUUCACUUUCUCUCUGCCAUGAGAGUCCUCUGGCUGUGCUUGACCUUUGAGUGCUGUUUUACGUCAUCGUGUUCUUUUGCAUUGGAGGUGGUAUUGUGUUUGUACUAGUUCUGAUAUUUUAGCAGCAGUAUCUUAUGAUUUUGUUUUUCAGUAUGUAUGAAAAUUUUGAUUUCUCAUAUUUUUAUAUAACUAUGGAGUGUAUGCUCAUUAUAAAAAAAUUAGAAAAACAGAGAAGCAAAGGAAAGACAAAGCUGUUGACUGUAGUUAAACCACUCAGAACCUACCAUGUUUACAAAUCAGUAUAUGUUCUUUCAGACUUUUUUUCAACCACAUAUGCAGACAUUUUUUUUUCAAAAAAUGAAUUUGUGCUAAAUAUUAUAUACCCCUUUUCACCAACUAUGUAUAAUAAGUAUACAUUGUUGUAUUUUUUUCUCAAAUAGUGCCUGGAUAUUUAUGAUAUGGUUUGCAAGGUCAUGGUGAUAAGAAAUAACCUAGGGAUUGCCAAUGAAAACAAGCCCAGAAAUCAGAGAGUGAUACUUAUGGGAAUCGUUUCUAUUCACUGAGCCUUAAGCAUGCGCUGGGCGCUAUCGCCAGGCAUUUUAUUCACAAUAUGUCUUUUAAUUCUCACAAUUGUCCUCUGAGGUGUAGCUGUUACUGUUUCCACUUUUGUAGCAAAUGCCCUAAGAGAUAAAGACAUUUGCUUGUGGUUACCUUGCAGCAAAUGUUGGAGCAGGGAUGGAUUUGGUCCAUCUCUUAUCUCUUUGUGUGUUUCAGAUUUGAGCCCAGGCUAAGCUGUCCCUCCAGCUGCCUGCCUCUGCAUUGUCCCUCGGGGGUGCUGGGCAAUCAGGGUGGUGGCACAGGCUGGGAGGGGUUGUUGGUGCCCUGCCUCCCACCCAGGGUGGCACCACUCCCCAGUUCUGCCACUGAGACAUGCCUGAUGAGGCACCAUUUAUUCCUAUGUGGUUCAUAAGACAACGUGUAGAAAAUUAGCAUUUUAUCCCUCUAGCUGUAUUCUGUUAAAAAUACAUCUAAAAGCAUCCCAUGCCGUAUUGAUCCCUUUUGAGCUAAGAAAAAAAAAUGGCAUUUCCCUCAAGCAGUUAAAUUGUAUUUAUUUUUUUUGUUUGUUUGUUUUUGUUUUUUUUUUUUUACAGAUUCUCAAGUACACCAAGCACACACUUAAAAUGGGCUUACAUUUUAUUUUAUUUUAUUUUUGAAACUGAGUUUUGCUCUAUCACCCAGACUGGAGUGCAGCGGCAGGAUCACAGCUCACUGCAGCCUCAACCUCCUGGGCUCAAGCAAUCCUCCCUCCACAGCCUCCCAAGUAGCUGGGACUACAGGCGUGCAUUACCAUGCCAGGCUUUUUUUUUUUUUAAUGUAGAAAUGAGUCUCAUUAUGCUGUCCAGUCUGGUCUCAAACUUCUGGCCUCAAGCAGUCCUCCUACCUCAACCUCUCAAAGUGCUAGAAUUACAGGCAUGAGCCACCAUGACUGGCCAAAACUGUAAAUGUGUCAGAAUCUUCUGUGAUUCCCUUUCAGCCCUUCUUGGGCACCCUAGUCUUCUUAGAUAUUCUUACAGUAGAAUCAAUAUAUAACACAAUAUAUGUAAUAAUAUAUAACACAUUGUAUAACUGUGUGUCUGUGAUAGAGGUGUGUUUAAUAUGUGGUAUACAGCAAGAGCUAAAACAUUGAAAAGCUGUAGUGGCAGAAAUAUCAGAUUAAUUGUGUUUGAAGUCACAGUUGUGGUAUUAUUUACAAAAUUAAUGUGGCACGAUGAGGAUAAAAACAGAGUUCCACUUGUAUUUCCAAUGCCUCUAUUGUUAUCUGGAAUGCUGAAGGAAUGCUUAUGUCAUUAAGUCACUAAAUAUGCUUCAAAGCAAUUCUGAAAAUGUAAACUUCAUAAAAAUCACUAUGAUAUUUUUAUCUUUUUAGGUGCUUAGAUGACAUGAUCUAUAAAUAAUUCCUAUCACCAGCUCACUGUUAGAUGGAGAAUUUAUUCUUUAUCCAGAGUGGAUGAGUGCUGCCUAAAGUUUUGUUUUGUUUUUUCCAGUUUUUAACCCAAUACAAAAUACAGUGUAGAUGCACAGAUGCCUCAAACCUAUUUCUUGGUGGCCCCAUGACCACUUACCACAGACUUGGUCCAGCUAUUCUUUGGAUUCUUCUUUUCCAGACACACCUUUGCUUCUCAGAAUUUCAGCACAUUUUUAAAGCAGUGCAUAUGGAUGGUGGUCUUGUGAUUCUGUUUUCUUUUCCUUUCUUAUACUUCUUUAAGUUGGAGUCUAGAGUGAUCAGAAUGUGAAGGCACUUCUGUGAUGGGUUAAGUUAAACUGAGCCAUUUUGUAGGACACUAAUCAUGUUGCUCAUAGAGCCUUAACUUAGAGGACUGUAAAUUAAACUUGCAGAAUCACGCUUAGCAUUGAGAAGUUGUCUGAGAUAUAAUUCCAUCCAUCUGAAAGUACCUCUUCCUGCUGGUAAAUGGAGACCUCCUCAUUUAAUAGGGAUUAUAUCUUGUUAUUAUUAUAUAUAUAUGCUCUACCUGAACAAUCAGUAGUUUGAAAAAUAAAACUUUUUUGAUUUGGAUUUGCAGUGAUUUACUUUAUACAAGUUUUAGGCGAGCUCAGAGAGAUGCUAAUCUAAAACCCAGAGUUCAUGUAAGGAUUGUGGUUUAUGAAAAUGCUCUUAUGUAUUGGUUUAGUAAUCCUGGUUUAUAGUUUAUUUUGAACUUGAUUUAUGAACAGAAGUAUUACUCUCAUUUAUUAAGGCUGAUGGGUUUCUCUCCCCACCCUCUCUUCAGAACUUUCUGCUUUGUCCUUUCUAAUAAAUUUGGGAGUGUGGAACACACUGUCCAUGAUUCUUCCUUCCAACAUUAGAUUUUAGACUAAUUAACAGAAGAAAGCAAGCAUCUUUCAAAAACUUGACUUUAAGUACUUGGGUAUAUAUAAUCAGGACCAUUAAAAAGAACACGAUGUUUAGUGCAUCUCUCUUCUCUUAGUGAGCACAGAAACUUCUCUUGGCUGUUUCCAGUGUUGAGGCAGGCCAAGUAUAGCUCCAAGCACUGAAAUCUUGGAGACUAAAAGGCCAUAUCUUUUUGUAGGAAAGUGAGGACCCCUUCUUGUUCAUCAGUUCUGUUUUUGUCACUGGUUAGCUUUUAAAAAUAUGUUUAAAAGGCCAGGCGCGGUGGCUCGUGCCUGUAAUCCCAGCACUUUGGGAGACCGAGGCAGGCAGAUCACCUGAGGUCGGGAGUUUGAGACCAGCCUGACCAACAUGGAGAAACCCCGUCUGUAUUAAAAAUGUAAAAUUAGCGCGGCAUGGUGGUGCAUGCCUGUCAUCCCAGCUACUUGGGAGGCUGAGGCAGGAGAAAUGCUUGAACCUGGGAGGCGGAGGUUGCGGUGAGUCGAGAUCGCUCCAUUGCACUCCAGCCUGGGCAACAAGAGCGAAACUCCGUCUCAAAAGAAAAAAAGAGUUAAAAGGCUGUUCCAUCUUGCAUACUCCUCUCCCCCAUGUUGGUGAGAUUCCAAAGUGUAGAAGUUUUAACUUUUCUAAGCUGGAAUUUAUUAGCUGUAAAAAAAAAAAAAAAGAAAAAAAAAGCUUUUUAGUCUUGCUGGAAGU